Molecule: long non-coding RNA, 48595 nt
Filed under: Triticum aestivum (bread wheat)
Lineage: Eukaryota; Viridiplantae; Streptophyta; Magnoliopsida; Poales; Poaceae
Description: long non-coding RNA (TAES_LNC003764)
Rfam family: MIR1120/MIR1122 microRNA precursor family (bases 13242-13328)
Source: RNAcentral
UAACGAAAGGCACACAACCCUGGCGCGAACUAAAGCAAGGCUUGCCUUACAUUCUCAAGUCUGAACUACCUUUAUUCAUCUUACGAUUCUUAAAUACUUGCAAUACAAAAAAAAAAUGAACAAGUAUUUGUAAAAUGUUGAUCAAGCAUUUGAUAAAUGUUAAAUAUGUAUAGAAAAAAUGUUGACCAUGUAUUAAAAAUGAUGGUUUUUUCAUAAUUUAUAUAAAAAACUUUAAUCAAGCAUUUGAAAAAAUGUUGGUAAGUAUUUAAAAAAUGUUAAAUGUGUAUAGAAAAAAUGUUGACCAUGUGUUAAAAAAGUUAAUAUUGCAAAGUUGAAAAUUUUAAGCAAGCUUUUGAAAAAUGUUUGAAUGUGUAUAAUAAAUGUUGAUCAUGUGUUUAAAAAAUAUUAAAUUUAUAUUGGAAAAUGUUAAACGUAUGUUAGAAAAUCGUCGUUGACAUAUACAAAGUAGAAAUGAAAGCAAAAAAAUGAAAGAAAAAAAGGAAAUAAAAACGAAGGAAACAAAUGAAAACCCGGGGAAGAAAAAAAAGAAAAGUAACAAGAGAAAACGAAAAAGAAAAAAAAUCCGAAAAAAGCCGGCUAUACUUGCUUCACGUAGGUCCUGUCCCCGCUACUUAACAGGAACAGUGGGUGGGCGUGAUGUUACCGUUUCGUUCGCUGCUCUGGAACCGCUUUGAACCGCUUCAAAGCGGCGAUCUUGGGGUGAUUCUUGCCUGCUUCUCUCGACGCCGACAACACCGUGGGUCCUCGUCCUCUCCGUCUGCCGCUCCGGCGGCGGGAGGGGCGGUGACCCCGGUAGUUUCUCUCUGGUGGGGAGAUUGAAUAGGCAUAAUUUGUUUUCAGAGGUGCUGCAUCAAUGAUGGGGACAGCGCCGCGUCGAAAUAAUCUGUUUCUGCUCUUACCUCGUCUCGGUGGCACUCUAAUGUGUGGCGUCGAGGAGCGGGUGGCUCAGUCUUCAGAUCUGGUAAGAUUUGUGUUUGAUGGUCGGCACACGAUGCUCUCACGGGUGGCGUUGGUGUCGACCGUCUCGGUUGUGUUUGGUGUCUUGCAAUGGGGUGAGUGGAUGGAGGCAAGCAGCAGCGUUCCUCUUCUUCGAUCGCAUCGGAUGAAGUUGAUGACACUGGGAUCUAGCGGACACGGGGAAGAACCCCAGCCGACGUGCCACAAAGCCCCGGUCCCGUCAUUUGCGGCGGUCCGUUUCGUCGGCUCGAAAAGCAUCAUUGUAUGCAAAGGUGCUCCUCCAGAUCUGGGUAUGACGGUAACUCCCUUCUUUCUUCAGUGUUGCCUUGGUGGCGGUGGAGGUCGAUGGUGGGCGACGUUUCGGUGUGGCACAAGAUUAUGUCAGAGUGAAAUUUUAGUUUUGCUUCUUGCAGAAUCUUUGAUGCAAUAUUGCAAGACAUCUACAUAUGUACUAUUUGUAACCUGUUUGUUUAAUCAAAUAUAUGUGGGGUUUUUUUUAAAAAAAGUUGGUGGGCGUGAUAGAUAGAUAGCUGCGCUCGUUGCCUUCCUGGAGUUCCAGCGUUCGACCCCUUGUUCUACCUUUGUUUCUUCUGCUUUUCUUAAAUGUGCGCGAAAUGGGCCUGCCCGACUACUGUAGCCGCUUCAGGUCUCGCUGAAGGUGAGAUAUGGUCGCCGCGGACAGAGUUGCCCAUUUGAGAGAAACGGCCCUGUGUGGAUAUUGGGCCAAAAUGUAGCCCAGUGCACUGCGGCACACACCACAGUUUAGAAUUCCUGCGUGGCUCUACGCUUUAAUACCACAUGGCUUGUCAAAGGUAGAUUCAACAUGUUUAUAAGCUUUCCCACGCUGCAGGAUAGCACAGCAUGUCAGCGUGGCAAGCGCUGACAGCAACUCUUAAACUGGUAUAUGAUACAUGAUUGAAACUUACCAGUCUGAAGACCCAUACAACACGCUGUGGGUGUGCUAUUUUGUUUUUGAGUCUGGAGUACCUUUUUUUUUUUUUUGCGGGUGUGUCUGGAGUACCUUGUUUACAGGCAUUGACUGCUCUUGCGUACUGCUCGGAGAUUGCAUUGUAGUAGUUCUGAAACAAGCUCGGAAUGGCUUGGAGAUUGCGUUGUAUUGCAGGCAUUGCUCGGAGAUGACAUUGCAGGCAUUGACUGCACUUGCGAAUAGAAGGACGGCCAGGACCGAACCCGCUCCCUAGGGUUUCCCCCCGCCGCCGCCGGCUCCCCCGCGCGGAGCUGCCGCCGCCGCGGCCGGAGCCCGCCGGAGCCGCCAGCCCCCUCCGCCCUCUCCUCCCCCCACCCCUCCUCCACGCCCCUGUACCCCCGCGCCGCCUCCCCGAGCGAGGCGGUCGGGGGCCCUUCCUUCGCGCGCCUCCAGCCCCUCCCCGCGCCCAUCCCUCCUCCCGCCGUCGUCAGCCUGCGCCGCCGGCCCUCGACCGCGUGAUGCUGGCGGCGGUGGGCUUGCCCUUCCCCGCGCGCGGUCCUCUCUUGCUCGGGCGGUGAUGGCCGGUGGCAGUGCGCCUCGGCCGGUGGCGGUCCGGCGUCCUGGUGUGGAGGCCGGCGGUGAUCGUCGUGGUGGUGCCGCCUCUUGGCGGCGGGGUGGUCCGGUGGUGCUGGCCGGCCGGGGGCGCGUCCCCGGCCCAGAUCUGGGCCCGUAGGGUCCCUUCUGGGUCCUUGCGGGUCGGCUCCGGCGCGACCGCAACGCUCUCUGUAUAGGGAGGCAGGGGAACAGCUUGGACUGGGACAGCGACGCCGACAGCGUACCAGCUGCUGCGCGGAGGCGGGAGCUGUCCGGGCCUUUGAGGGCCCGACCGGGCCUGUGGGGCCACGGGCCCGGUAGGCUACCGUCAUGGACGAUGGAGGUGGGGCCCUCCCGUAUGCCGACGGUGUUGUUGCCCUAGUCCCAGCUCCUCUUCUCCUUUGUGCAGACCAUCUUCGCGGUGCCGUGGUGAGACAGUGUGGGAAGCUUCGUGUCCGUGUUGGCGCAGGGUGGUGGUCAGUCUGGUGGCGAGCUCCGGAGUGCCUGAGGUAGAGGCUGAGAUCGGGAGAAAUCUUUGUUGGCUUGGCGGGAGCUGUCCGGGCCUNNNNNNNNNNNNNNNNNNNNNNNNNNNNNNNNNNNNNNNNNNNNNNNNNNNNNNNNNNNNNNNNNNNNNNNNNNNNNNNNNNNNNNNNNNNNNNNNNNNNNNNNNNNNNNNNNNNNNNNNNNNNNNNNNNNNNNNNNNNNNNNNNNNNNNNNNNNNNNNNNNNNNNNNNNNNNNNNNNNNNNNNNNNNNNNNNNNNNNNNNNNNNNNNNNNNNNNNNNNNNNNNNNNNNNNNNNNNNNNNNNNNNNNNNNNNNNNNNNNNNNNGUCCGGGCCUUUGAGGGCCCGACCGGGCCUGUGGGGCCACGGGCCCGGUAGGCUACCGUCAUGGACGAUGGAGGUGGGGCCCUCCCGUAUGCCGACGGUGUUGUUGCCCUAGUCCCGGCUCCUCUUCUCCUUUGUGCAGACCAUCUUCGCGGUGCCGUGGUGAGCCAGUGCGGGAAGCUUCGUGUCCGUGUUGGCGCAGGGUGGUGGUCAGUCUGGUGGCGAGCUCCGGAGUGCCUGAGGUAGAGGCUGGGAUCGGGAGAAAUCUUUGUUGGCUUGGCCAACACCGACGCGGGGGCGUCUGAGGGUGCCGCCGGACCUUCCUGGAGGGCGUCGGGGCUACCCUUCCUCUCUCCUCGCCGUGUACCGGGGGAAACCCUUGGCAGCAGCAUCGUCAUCGCCGCGUCCCUUCUUGGAGGUGUUGUUGGGUACCGGCACUUCGGAGUCUCGGAGCUUGGUGAGCGAUCUCCGGUGGACGCAGCGGUCACAAGGCUUCGUCGUUUUUGUCGAUCCGCCGUUAUCGGCAUUUGUUUCUUUUCUUUUUUUUCUCUUUCCUUUCUUUUGGGCGUAUUUGUGCUGCUUCCACCCCAGCCCCUAUCGUCGGUUGUAUCGGUUGGUUGCUUUGUAAUACAAAGCGGGGGAAACCCUUUUUCUCAAUUGACUGCACUUGCGUACUGCAGGCAUCUUCUUUUACGAGGCGACAACGACUCGAAUUAAUGAUCAUAGUACUACUAUCAAACAUGAUACACCAUGUGGUAUCUGCAGCUUAACCAAAAAAGGUACACUCUCGGUUCAUAUAAGUUUUUAUAAAUUGUGAUGAGAAAAAAGAAACAUGUAUACACAAAAGGUUCACAUAAAUUUGGUUAUUUUUAACAACAAUCAUUUCUAUACUAUAUAUAGGCAACGGGGAAAUUCAAUCACCCUAGCCACCCCUAGCUACACUCCUGAAUUUCGGUUCAAUAAUACUCCUUUGGUUCCAAAUUACCAAGCACACUAGGUUUUGUUAGGACAAGUUUUUGACCAAAAAUUACUCUACUGAUCUAUAGUACUCCUUCAGUUCCAAAAUAACUGUCUCAAGCUUAGUACAAUUUUAUACUAGAGCUGGUACAAAGUUGAGACACCUAUUUUGAGUCGGAGGGAGUAUGUGACAUAAAGUUGAUGUCAUUACCUUCGUAUUCCAAAGUACUUACGCGUGCUUGUUAUUUUGCAUCAUCAAAGUUAGAUCCUAAAUAUAUAAUUAUUUUAACAAACCUAGUAUAUUUGGACAUUAAUUGGGAACAAAGAGAUUAUGAAUGUAUGAUCAUUUGUGCUUUACACUUACUAUAUGACUUAAAGAUUGUAACUAGGCGGUAGACACCAUCAACCAUCUCAAAUUGAUAACAUGAGACUUAAAAAUAUGUAGCUCAAAUUCUUCUUUUAGGAAGUGUUAAAUACUUUUAACUUAUGGUAACCUGGGGGUUUGCAAAUCUCUCUACUCAUAAUGGAGCAGUUGGUAGUCUCCGCCGGUCAAUUUUCGUCCUCGAUCCCACCUUCCAGCGAACCCCCAGGCCUGUCACGAAGCCAAGGUGCCCCCAUGAAGUCAAGGUGACAAACCUCCGGUCCAUCCAGAGAAAAUCGGAGAGAAAAAAUCUACUAAAAAACCUACGAAAUUUAACCAGUGACGAGGCCCCUUCGCACGUAACACGAAAAAUCGCUCGAUCCAACUCCUCCCUCUCCCUCGGUCUCGCCUCUCCUAUCGCUCGAUGUCGCUUGGUCCUCUCUUUAGCCCGCCACCGUCCCCAGCCGCCUUGCUCCGCUGUUGCCCCUCCCUUCGCCUGCCUCGCCCCUGCUCUAGGGGGGAAAUUGGAUGAUUUGCCCCAUUUUACUUGGGCAUUAGAUGAUUUGCCCCACUUUACAUAGGAUUAGAUCAUUUGCCCCACUUUUCAUUUUUCUUUUGAUGAUUUGCCCUUUUCAAUUACUGUAAUCAUUUUUGAAUAUUUAUUGCUUUUUUCUCCAUGCGAAAAGACAUAGUUGCCCCUGUGGCUGAUUUACAGUUUGAUACCGUACAAAUCUUUUUUCUUUACAAGCCAUGUCCAACUGAAGCAACUAAUUAACAGGGAACAAAUCAUAUCUACUUUCUUUACAUGGUUGUACCCAACGGAACCAGGUACUCACAAAUCAUAGAUUGAUUCUGUUGCUUGCGUCGUCAUGUUCAUGGCUAGUGGAGAGGCAGAUCCACCGCAUAUAUAUAGAUCUCUCACCUGUGACUGAAGGAGAUUCAGCAAGAGAUGAAGCAUAUAUAUUUUUGUUGGAACUUGAUCUCAGGUAACAACCCAAGAGAAACCAGAAGGUUUUGACCCCAUACCUUUUCACGUAGGAGCCUUGAUCGGAGGCCUCUAAACCAACGGUUUUGGACCCGGUCCCCAGCCCCAGCACUUGAUAUAAAAAGUAGAAAGAUAGCACGUAAGAAAAACUAGCAGAAGGAGUGCCAUCGACCCAACUGCCCGAUCCAAAAGUCGUGCUAAGGGGCUGGAAGACCGAUCUCCACCAUCGGCCACCGCGAGGCUGUGCCGACGGUUUCUACAUCGACCAGCCGCUGCCCAUGCCGGCCACCUCUAGUGCCGGUGGCGUUCUGGACGUCUUCUACGUAUUGCUGGCCACGUUCACGCUGGUGGCCAUGGGCUAUUCGCUUGCGAUCUCUGCUUAUUCUGGUUAGUAUCCGAUUCCCCUUCUAAAGAGGUGUUCUAAUUACGAGAUUGAGUCGAUGUUUAAUGCUAGUCCUAAAGAAUUUGCUAACAUUGGUAUCAUGAGCUAGUUAAUCUCAGUUAGAACCCUAAUCAGGUUUUCAUGAUGUUUUUAAGUUAAUGAUCUUGUGUAAGUCCUGAUGUUCUCUGUUUUAAGAUAAGUGCAUGUUAAAGGUUUAAUUAUCCUAAAUUAGUGACCCUUGUUUAUGGUCAAUUUCUUAAGGUUAAGGUCUAGUUGAUACGGGUUAGGGCUAAAACAUGAUCAUGUACAGUUCUGUUAUGGUUUGUGGAAUACUGCUGAUGUUUUGAGAUUAAGUUAAUGUAAUUAGGAUGUUAAGGCCUGUUUAAGCAAUUAGAAGGAGGUGAAUAGCGAAUUGCAGAAAUCCCAAAUUUUACCCAAUUUUAUGAAACCCAAAUCCCCGAUUUUUCGAAAUUCGAAAGCAAUAAAAUCCCCAGAUUGAAGAUCAAGACUUACCUAUAUAUGUGCGUCGGGCCGCGCAGCCUCCGUGCCAUGGCAAUAGCCGAUGUGCGCAAACUUAACGCCCGCAGCACCACAAUCUCUUGGUCGCUGCCGAACUGAUGGACUAGAAGCACAUGGCCGGAGUGGCAUGUGCGCCGUCGUCACCUCCUCAAAUCACGCGGCACCGGCGUACUUUAUGGCGGCCGGAACGCCGGCGUACAACCACACAUCAUGUUUUCCGGCGCUUCCCAGCCUAAUGGACGACGAGCAAGUGCGGCUUCCAUGCCGCGCUUUACCGCCAUCCCCUUUUUUUUUCAUGGCCAACGGCAAUUCACCUCCACCAGCUCCACAAAAAAGACCACGCGCACGACGCGGAGAGGGCGAGUUCGACGACGCCGCGCGCACCGUCUCGUCGAUGCACGCGCGCGCCGGCGAACAAGCCCACCGCGUCGCCGUGGUGAUGGGCGCGCGUCACAAUCGGCGGCAGCGCCGCCGCUCUCGCUCGCCGCGGGGAAAUCGGGGGAGGAGGGAAUGAAUGGGGAUUAGGGUUAGACGGGCCGACAAUUUUGUUCCGACUGCGCCGAUUCCUGGCCGUUCGAUUUGAUCUGACGGAGGGGAUCAAUGCGGGGAAGUAAAUGGACCACGGGAGCCUAAUGGACCAACUUCUUCUAAGGGCCCCGACUCAAGUUUUGAUUAGGCCUAUGGCUGCUUUUAUUUUAUCUAACGCCCCGCUCGGGCGGAAUUUCCUGAUGGGCCGCAAGCGCUUUUGAGCCGAAUUUAAGUCUUUUUUAAUUAAGUGCUAUUAUAUUUUGUAAUGCUUAAAAUGUUUUUUGCACUGUUUAAAAAGAUUUAAAGUGCCUGAUUUUAUGUUUAACAUGUUUUCUGAAUAAAAUGGAACCAACUAGAAAUUUUAUUCAGAUUCUUUUGACAUGUUUUAUUAAUGUCUUUUUGUGUCAUUUAAUGUGGAAUAUCAUUUUAAAUAUCAACAAAUGCUGAGGAUUAGUAUUGUAAAUUGAUAUUUAAUAUGAGACUGAUGUGGUCCAUUUGUAAGAUGAACUAGUUAGACUUUUUUUUCCAGUGCUAUUUAUGAAGUUUACAAAUUUUCAAAUAAUGUUGUAUGCACUGUUUAUAUCGGGAAAUGUUUGAAUUUGAAGGGGGGGUAUAGUGCUACAAGAUUAAUGUUGAUGCCAUUUUUAUAGCAUUUUAAUGUUGAGUUACGAACAUUAUGAGAUGACCUUGAUUUUGAGCAUGAUUAUGUGUGACUCUUUAAAGUUUGUUUCAAAAAAAAAUUAUAGCAUUUUUUAUGGACAUCUUUUUUCAAAAUUUUAUUUGUAGCAUGAGAUUUAUGUUGUGAUCAUCUCUAAUGGGCUGAGGCCACCCUAAAGAAAAUGUUAAUUACUGGUUGUGUGGUUCGUUUUUCCGCAACGCACUAUGCAGCCUAAUAAUGACGAGACAUGAUGUUAAAGUAUUAUGCCAUGUGCAUUUUUUUGUCCUUUGGCAUGCACUCAUAAAAGGUGAUGAAAACUCAGCGUGAUGAUUCUCUAAAUAAGGAUGUCUAGAUAGUUUUAAUGUGAUAUCAUGGUCAUGUUUUCUCAAUUGUUGACAAUUAAAAGUUCACCAAAUGUUAUUAUUUGGUGAAAACACGGUGCAAUUUCCAAAUUUUGUUUGCAGAAUGUUAUGGUGUCAUUGUCAAUGAGGAUGUCAAUCUGUUGUCUACUCUGUUAAAUGCCAUGAUUAGAAUGUUUAAAAGAAUGAUAGUUUUGUUAUCAUGUAACUGAAGUUUUUAAUCAUAAACUUGACAUAUUUUGUUGAUGUUAUUGAAAUUAUAAUGUCAAGUUUAAUGCAAGAUGACCAGUGAUAAAUUAUAACUUCAUGUGUCUGAUAACACACUGGAUUGCAUCAUUUAUUGGUACUUUAUGUUAAUUAUAUGGCUAUUAAUUUAGCACAUAAGUUCGCUGAUCAUUUUAUGAUUCUAAGUUUCUGGAGUCAAAACAUAAAGCUUUGAUUAGAGAUUUCAUUUAUGAGCAUAUGUUUUAUGGUAUAUGACAGUAUUCCGACCAACGUUGAUUAUUGUCAUGUCCCACUUUUUGGGAUGCGGAGUGUUUUUUUUUCAUUUUUCAACCCAAUGGUGAUACAUAUUAGAACAUGAUUAGCCUCUUUUGAUUGAGAUCAUUCAAGAUUAUGUUUGAUGUUUCAUGAUGAUGCUCAUAAAAAAAAUUGUCCUUGUUUUCAACAAUGGACCAUAAAGUAGAGUUCAUUUAUUUGAAGACUAGGGCUAAUCUUUAAAUUGGAAGGGAAGGACUCUAUUCAUGAUGGAGAUUUUUGACCUUCAUCGUGCACUAUAUGAAGAGGCUCCUAGAGUUUCUAUUGUAAAUUCCGUUGAGGGGGAGGAAUAUUAUGACCUAAAAGCUAUGAAGUGGGAGAAGUCAAAGCGAUGUUCAUUUCUUAUUAUGAAACAUACCACCUCCUUCAUAUGCCAAUUAGUAUUUUGUCUUUAUUGAGGAACAUUUUGAAGAUGUUUUACCCAUUAAAGAUAGGCUUUAAGGAGUUUUGCUACGAGGACAAUAAAGAAUAAAGCAUUUGAAGACAUUUUGUUUAUUCAUAUGAACCUUUUGUUCUUCGUAAUGCAACCUUUCGAUGAUGGUCUUACCAUGUGGUGAGAAUAUUUAUAAAUGUAUUGUUUGUAAUAAAUGUGCCAUGGCACUCUUAUGAUGUAAGUGAAUAAUGAGACCUCGUCGAAAUUGUAGUCAUGCUUACCACAUUUCAAAAGGGGGAAUGGAAUGUCUCAUUGAAUAUGGGAAAUGGUGAAUGUAUUAAAUUCUCCGAGUAGGAUGGAACCAACAAGAAGUCCUAUUUUGGAGAAUGAAUUAUUAUAGUGUUUGAAAGAUCACAUGAAUGUCCUUACUUCCUUUUUAGAAGAAUUACAUGUACUUGCUCCCUUAUAAGAACUAUGAAGCACACAUUAAGAUUUAAAGUGGCAAGCUUGCUAAUCUAAUGAUGAUUAUGAUGUGACUUGUGGUUAUAUUUCUGACCAACGUCGUUUGUAAUCAUGUGUCACACUUCACUCAAGUGGCAAGUUUGUCAGUACCAUGUGGCUCAUGGUUAUUUUUUUGACCAACGUCAUUUUAUAAUCAUGAGUUGCAAAUCAUGAAGUUCUUUUCCAUCUUCUGCCCAACGGUGUUGUGGUUUAGAGCUGAGAUGAUUGCCAUCAAACUUUUGAAUUUAUUUUUCCAUCUUCUAAAGUGAUUUAUCACGGAACCUGGAGCGUAUGGACAUGAAUCUUAAAGAUAACUCCGUUAGAUUUUUGUUCAUAUGCAUCAGGUAAGUUUAGAAGAAAUUUCUAUUGCGGGGCUUAAUGUUGAGCCUUAACAAUUUCUCUAUGCUUGAUAAUGUGUGUGAAUGAUCAUCUUAGUGCCUUGCUUCCAUAUAGGAUGAAAAUUAUGAGCUCUAAUGACCAAUGAAACUCAAUAGAGUUUCCUUAGUGAGUUGUUGUGAUGCUUGUGUUAUUAUUAUAACAUGCUCUUGUGUUACCUUGGUUAAAAUGUAUGUAUGACUCAACCAUAAGAUUUCGUUAUGAAGAUAAAGUUGACAUAAAGCAUGUUGUUCAAAUACAGUUAUGAAAUAAGACGAGCAUUGAGACACUCAUACCAUAAGUUGAGGGGGAGUAAGCUUACUACCUUGUGAAGAUGAAAUAUUCUUGGCGAGCCAAGAAAUAUCUAUCUUCUAUUUAUGAGUACAAGUCUUGGUGAUGCCUCAUACUUUGCUAGUAUUGAGUUUCAUCAAGAUAUUGGUCCAAAAGGAGUAUAAGUCUUAUUAUUAUGACAUACGUCGGUAGAGUACAAAAGAAAAAUAAUUAUGUACUAGUACUCUGUCUCACCUGCUAUUAAAGUUAAGGGCCAUAAAAAAUGGGCAUCUUAGUGUCCAAGGAACCAUUAUGAACUGAUCAGAUAAUGUUGUUUACCUAUGCUUCAGCUGUCAGAAGCAGUACAAGUAUUCAAGUAUGAAUGUGCCCUAUUUAUGAUCGGGGAUACUUGGCAAAUGUACAAGUAAGCCCAGAAAUGGACCACUAGGAAAGCCAACUAAAAGUCUUGCAGUAAAUCAAGGCAUUAAAGUUUACAUGCUCACUGAGUAUCGUAACCUCGAUAUCAUAGGUUACUCAAACAUUGUUUUUGCGAGGUGUGUGGAUAUUAAGUUUCCACGUUAUGUUACACCCCCACCUUCGCGUAUGGAGCUAUAUCGUGGAAAAGCUCCAUAAUGACACCGAUGGCAUCGGUAAUGAUGCAAUUUAUCAUGUGGCAUGCUAAGAGGCUGUUGAGCAGGUUGUAUGUCAAAUAAGUUUUAUUCCCGAAAUGAUGGUGGUAGACAGCAUUUCUAAACCACCUACUGCAAUAUGAACAUGCAAUUUUCUAUGCGAGUAACAACAAGUCAAAUGGCACUGCCAAAACCAUUGACAAUAUGUUUGUGUUGUGAAAGAUAGAGUCCAGGAUCAAGCUAUUGAAGUUGAGCGUAUGAGUACGUCUGAAUGUUUUACGGAUCCGUUUAUCAUAGACUUACCACCCAAUGUAUCAUUAUGUUGCUAGCAUGGGUUGUUGGAAAGUCUUGUUGAUCCUGGAAAUAACGACCGUUGAAUAAUCCAACUCCCAUAAAGUGUUAUGUUUUCCGUUUCAAGAUAGAAUGAUAUACUAUAAGUACUGAGUUUCAGUGUCAUUUGAUAGGUCACUGUGACACCUUACUUUGGUAGGUAUUUCUAUUACGAGCGGGUUUAUGAUGUUUGUUAACCUUACAAUCAAGGGGGAGAAUGUUGGAACUUGAUCUCAGGUAACAACCCAAGAGAAACCAGAAGGUUUUGACCCCAUACCUUUUCACGUAGGAGCCUUGAUCGGAGGCCUCUAAACCAACGGUUUUGGACCCGGUCCCCAGCCCCAGCACUUGAUAUAAAAAGUAGAAAGAUAGCACGUAAGAAAAACUAGCAGAAGGAGUGCCAUCGACCCAACUGCCCGAUCCAAAAGUCGUGCUAAGGGGCUGGAAGACCGAUCUCCACCAUCGGCCACCGCGAGGCUGUGCCGACGGUUUCUACAUCGACCAGCCGCUGCCCAUGCCGGCCACCUCUAGUGCCGGUGGCGUUCUGGACGUCUUCUACGUAUUGCUGGCCACGUUCACGCUGGUGGCCAUGGGCUAUUCGCUUGCGAUCUCUGCUUAUUCUGGUUAGUAUCCGAUUCCCCUUCUAAAGAGGUGUUCUAAUUACGAGAUUGAGUCGAUGUUUAAUGCUAGUCCUAAAGAAUUUGCUAACAAUUUUCAGUGUGAUACAAUUAAACUCUGAAGCAUCUGGGGGAGAUAACUGAACGAAGUGUUUUAUACAAUGUACCCAGCUCCAUGACUGAAGCAGUACGAGCUGCUAGGGUAAUUAGUACUAUCAACACUGUCGCCCAGCCAUGGCUAUUACUGGCAACGCAACGAGCUCACACACAAAAAAUUAUAAAUCUAUGAAUCACUGAAAGAACUUAGUUUUUACCAGCAACGAGCGCACCAUCUGCAGCUCCGAGUUGCAGCGGGAGCUCCGGGACCCGCUGAUCCGCCGAGCUGCAGCGGGAGGCGCCGCGGUGGGCGGCAGAGCUGCAACCGGAGCCGCCUCCCCGGGCCGAGGAGCUGCAGCGGGAGCCGCCGCACCGGACCGACGAUCUGCAGCGGGAGCCGCCGCGCCGGGCCGACGAUCUGCAGCGGGAGCUGCCGCGCCGGGCCGCUGCUGCCAACAUGGGGGCCAAGGUGCCCUGGUCGGCCUCCUCCAGUAGCUUUCUCUGAGUAUUGGGGAAUGAAGAAGAGAGGAAAGGCGUUGAACUGGAGAAUGGUGAGCUCGUCGAUGGAAUUAGGACCAGUCCAAAAGCAGAGGAGAUUACAGAAGAAUUGUAAAUCAGCCACAGGGGCAACUUUGUCUUUUCACAUGAUGAAAAAGGGAUAGAAAUUCGAAAAUGAAUACAGUAAUUGAAAAGGGCAAAUCAUCAAAAGAAAAAUGAAAAGUGGGGCAAAUGAUCUAAUCCUAUGUAAAGUGGGGCAAAUCAUCUAAUGUCCAAGUAAAAUGGGGCAAAUCAUCCAAUCUCCCGCUCUAGGGCCGUCUAGCCGAGCCACCUGCUCCAGUCACGGCUAUCCCUACUCGGAUCUGGCGCUCCUGGUAUGUUCGCUACUUCGAUUCGAUUCCAUCUGUUCCGAUCCGAUCCGAUGGCCGGUGGUGUGGUUGCAUUGCACGGCCCCAUGAGUGGGGUUCAAAGAUCACCGUCACCGGCUGUGUGAGGCCACGAAUGUCAUCUUGGUCCCCUUACUACUAUAUUCCUGAUCCACGAUUGUCAUCUUGGUCCCCUGUACGAGUUGAUUAUAUGAUGUUGUGUUCUCAAGUUUUACUCUGAAUUUGUUAGAUGCUGGAUGAAAUUCACGGCUAAGCAAUUUUUUGGUAUGUCUUAACAGAAUGGUGGAAGGGAGGUUGAACUGAUAAAUUUCUGCAACCACCUUGAGGUCCAUAACGUUCUCCUAAUUAUAUGCAGCCCAAUUCGUAAAGUUGUAUUUGUUUGAGGGAGAGGACUGCCUGUGAUCAGAAGCAAACAACUAAUGUGGGUUUCUGCACUACUAAUGUGUGAGAGAUGGUAAGAGUAUGUGCUAUGUAUUUCUGUGUGUGCACUACUAAUGGGGAUUGACUGUUCAUGCUGCUACAGUAGUUUCAUGAUCGAUUAUGGAAACAAGAAAAUUACUCCCUCCGUAAACUAAUAUAAGAGCGUUUAGAAUACUAAAGUAGUGAUCUAAACGCUCUUAUAUUAGUUUACAGAGGGAGUACUUGAUAAGGAUUUUAUUAGUAUGUACUUUGAGACUUGAGAGGCUGUUAUUGACAGGGAUUCUCUGUCUGCUAGAGAGGCUGGUUCCAAAUCAACAUCGGAGCAAGCGCAAGAUAAGGGGACUGGGGUGAAGUCUUUUCUUCUUUGUCUCAAUGGUAUGCUGAUACGUUCAAACCUGCAUUUUAACUAUUGAUACCUAUAACGAGGCAGAGGAGGAUAUCCUGUUAGGGCGUGCAGCGCUGAGGCGUCGUGAGGAGGAGACGCCAUGGUGCCGGUGGUGCGCCCGCUGCUGGUGGUGCUCAGCGAGGACGAGUGCCAGAAGGGGCUGAGCAGGACGCCCUAGCGCGUCGACAGUAUCUGGUAAUAAUUUUUAUCUUCCUUUCAGAUGUAGUAGUUGAUACCGAUGAACUUAAAUGGAUAAUUUCUAACCUUAAUCUUGCAGUGUUCAGGGAGGCUCCCACAAAAUCAAUUUACACAAUCCCUUCUCUGAUUAUGCACACAGAUCAGGAGAGACAUACUGGCGGGACAAUCUUUAAACCAUGAAGCCCUCUCACGGGUCGACAUUGAACAAAUAAUUCUUCUUUGAGACAGUGAAGAAAACACAAAUCAAUGUAGUGCCCGACCCGAAUUGGACUUCGCUGCUAUAAGAAGGAAGGGUCCAUGGCCGGAAUCUCCAUCAGGAUGCAUACUUGGACCAGAAAAUCCAUCAAGUCCCGUCGAAAUUUCAAUUUUCAACGAAACAUCCAAUGUCACCUUCGAGUUCGCCAGAGGUAGAAGAAUACCCGUCGAGCUGUCUAAUGUCGCCUCAUCAGACUUCGACGGAUCUCUACUCCUAAUGUCUCAGUUGGUAGUUUGAGACAGUGAAGGAGUACUCCAUUUGACCAUUUUAAUCAUCUUGAUCGUUUUCAAAUGGUUUUGUACUCCAUUUGAUCAGUUUCAGUUUCAGUAUGCACAUUUUCAGUUUCAGUACUCUAUAUUAACUGAAAAAGAGUACAUUUUGAUCAUUUUCAAAUGGUUCUGUUAUCAGGUAAUAGUGAUCCUAGAGCCAUCUACCCCUGGAUCCCUUCGCGGGCGCCGAUCCCGUCGAGGUACCUAGCAGAUCCCUUCCCGGGCGCCGGUUCCGUCGCUACGAAGGCUGCAACCAUUUGAAGCCACCGAUCCCCUUGCCAUCGUUGAUCCCUUUGCAACGUUCAGGAGCCGACGUCGAUCCCCUUCAGGAGCCAUCUGGUAUGAACGCACGGUCACGCCGAUCCCCUUCAGGAGCCAACGCAGACUCAUUGCGGGCCAUCCAGGUUUUUGUAUGUUAUGUGCUUUUUGUAUGAGAUUGAGAUACUGUUGGGGCACUCUUUUGGGGUAAUCUUAUUCUGAGAUAUCCGUAAAAUAAUACUUAUUUAGAGAGGAGAUACCGACAGAGAUUUGUUUGAUGUGCUAAGAAAGAUUCAAGGCUUCACUAUUUGUUUGGUCAACUGAUCAAUGUUUUCACAACACAAGUAUUCAUGUUGUAUUUUUAUUUUUACUAUGUCUUUGAACCAUCUAGAUGAUGAACUAUAUACUGUACUUUUUAGUUUGUCGCAAGAACGUGAACCGAAUUUUUAGUCUGUCUAAAUCACGUGCAGAUUGGGUACUCUGGAGCACAUGGGAGGAGGAGAAUGAUGGGAGGUGUGUAGAAUUCGGCGCCAAGGGAGACGAUCGAGAUGGUGGAGCAGAAUCCAGAGGACGCCGGGAGACCAGGUAGAGGAGAGACAACACCCGGAGCCCAUCGAUCCAGUGAGCAGUGUGUGCUGUUCUUGGUGACCGAUUUCGUGAUGCGGGUGUUCUGGCCCAACUUCUUAUUUUCCUUCUUUGUGGUCCGUAUGCUGCAGUGAGCGGGGGAUUGCUAACUUUGUGGUAAUUUUCUGCUCUGAAUGAUGCCCAUGAUUUGAUCUAUGAACUUAACACGAUCAUGGUUCUGAUUUGGUUGCUCCUUGCAAAUCGCCGCACAGGUAACCUGCUGAGCCGACAUAGACGCCAAGUGCGGCGAUGCCUCUUCCGAUGAUUGGGAGGGCGAGUUCUUCCUGGGCUUUACCAAGAUCAACUAUGAGGUGAGGCCAUUGACCUUGAACUGAACAGAUUAAUUGUUGUUAAAAGGUUGCUUCCAGUUUAACAUUUGUUUUUGAAAAAAUGUACUACAUGGUCCUACUAGCAAGAGGAAGCUUUCUUACAAGUGGUGUAACGCGGAGGAAGUGAUUCUUGUAAAGAAAAUGUAAGUAUGAUUUGCAUAACUAUGUCUUUUUGGUAUAUAUCCUUUUAAUUUACUUGUACAUUAUGUGCUGCACUAGGAUUAUAUAUUUGUUUUGUGCUACAGGUUAGGUUGCGGUUCAGUGUGGCAUUCUGGCAUAUGUUUCGGGGUACUGGAGGAGAUCCUUUUGGUUCACCUACAAAGAACUGGCCUUGGGAGGAUGGCACAAAUUCCCUGGCCAUGGCUAAGAGAAGAAGUAUGGGAAUUACCUGAUCUUGUGUCUUAGGUCCAUGGCUGGAAUCAACAACUUAUGCUUCGAUUUCUGUUUCGGUGAUAUCUCAAUUCGAGUUCAUGAAGAAGCUUGGAGUUGACAGGUGGUGCUUCCAUGACAGGGAUAUCGCCCCUGAUGGCAAAACACUCACGGUAUGAUUUUAUUAGAAUGAUUCUUGAAGUUGCAAGUUGCAACCUCGAGUUAGGGGAAUUGAGACGGGUAGUGACCGACAUUAGAGCAGGUUUAUUAUGAUUGUAUUUACAAGGGUACAUGACUAUGUUUUCAACACAAGGAAUAUGGUUGUUGAUGGUUUACGGCCCGGCUGCGCCCACAUCGUCCCGACACCAAGUUCGAGACCAAGUUCUAACCCCUGUACCCAAUCAACCUCCAUGGAUCUUGUCUCUCACUAACCAAGAGCAUCAAUUCAACUCAACAGAUUGACAAAAGAGAUGAACCUAGAGUUUGAGGCUUGGGUAGUGUGGACAUUGACCUGAUGAUGAGUGUUGUAUGGUGGUCAAGUGGUGCCACUUCCCCUCGCCACAUGCUGCUUAGUCUGCUCAUUGAAGGUGCUCUCUGUUGGUGUUUGGCUGCUGCUGCUGAUGUAGGUCAAGGUAUGUACGUAGCAUCUUCUUGCAAAGGAUUUUGUUUUAUGGCUAUAUACAAAUUAUUUUGGUAUAGAUUUGUGAUUUUUGUUCCGUCCACUUAACCCAGUAUAUAGUAGCAGCUUUUGAUGUCCUUUCCUCACCGGCGAAUGUCAAAAUUUAUCAUGUGUGCAAAAAAAAAUUGAAUGUAGUACGAGUACAAGGUUUAGAGAAGUUCGAUCAAAUGGCAAGGCAUUUAUUUUGGGACGGAGGGAGUAUCUCAUAGGCUAUUCCAUUUUAACGUUGCAAUGUCCAUAAAACAUAUAUAAACAUUUUGGGACGGAGGCAUUUAUUCUCGGGGAGUCGUUGUUCCGGAUAUACAUAUAUAAAUCAGGUCUGCACCACCCUUUAUCUUAGCAGAAAUGCUUGUCGCGUCUCUCCUCAUUUUAUUAGGAGUAGAAAAAUUAGAGGAUUGCAAGUGUGAACAGUUCUUGGGCUUGUUGUGGUCAAAGAACUAAAUAUUUUGUUUCUUAUAUAAGGGCAGUGACUUCACUAUGUUAGGCUGGAUGGUUCGAUAUUUAGUAGCAUCAUCAAACUGGAUGCUAGCAAAGUGAUAAAAUUUGGAUGUUUUCGGAAAUAUAGCAUCAAGAGCUGAAUAAGAGAAAAAAUAAUCAAACAUCAUUAUGAAUGCCUUAGGAUAAUGAUUUUACCUUGCGGUUAUACUCUGCAUUGCAUGCCUGGAGAACUAUUGCUUUCAGAUCCAAUUUACAGUCCAGGUUGACCGUCGACACAGUAUUCUUGCCAUCAGAUCAGACACUAGAAAGCAUAGUACACCCAGGAGAAAUCAGACCAGGAAAUAGCUCUGGCUCAUACUGUCAAGCAACCAUAUAAAAAACAUCAGUUCAAAACAAGGAAAGAGACAAGUUCUGGGAAAGAAUGAGAAAAUAUCAUACAUGAUAAAAUAGUGCUGACGGAACAGAAUUCACAUCCUAACCUGGUCGCAUGAUUCAAAUUUAGAUUUUGGCCCAGUAUCUAUUUAAUGUGUACAGUUCACAGAAAUAAUAAUGUUUUGUUUUAUUUCGUUACAAGCCCCGACAAGCCAUGACGCUUGAAGAUAUGGAGGCGACGAAUCUGUGCCGACCCCCUCUUGGUGAUAACUCGGUCGGAGCCACUCUUGGUGACAUCUUGAAAAGGAGUACUCUACAACUACUGCUUCACAAGGGAGGCAAAAGGAACAUAGUCCAUCUUAUAAGCAGUUCAUUACCAAAACUUGAAUUUGCAAAAGGAACUUGAAUGAUCAUUUAAAUUGUGUGGAGUGAUUAGCCAGAAAGAGAAGAGAAAGAAAUGCUUGUAGGAGUGACAAUUAAAAUAAGAUAAUUGUUGGAGUAAACAACACUCGAUUAGUGACAGUUGAGUGACAAUUAAAGAGGGCAUGAUGAUGUGAUAAUUACUGUAACUACUCUACAUUAACUGAGAAGGAGUACUCCAUUUGACCAUUUUGAUCAUCUUGAUCGUUUUCAAAUGGUUUUGUACUCCAUUUGACCAGUUUCAGUUUCAGUAUGCACAUUUUCAGUUUCAGUACUCUAUAUUAACAGAAAAGGAGUACACUUUGAUCAUUUUCAAAUGGUUUUGUGAUCACCAGAUGAUGGUACUGGUAAUAGUAGAUUUAUAUCUUGUGAUCACCAGAAAAUGGAGUACCGUGUUUUCUGGUAGAGAACCAAGAAAAGACAUUCAAAAUCUACUAGGAAAUUAAACUUUAAAUUAGGUGCAUAAACUCUAAAUUAAAAAAUGCAAGUCCUAAUUCAUUUGGUUUUAAAGAAAACUUAUCUGAAGUAAAGCAGUAUAGUCUCUACAUGACGAACAAGUAAGAAGGAAUGGAAAGAUAAAUUUCCGAAAUGAAGAUAACAAAACAAACACUGAACAAUUGAACAGUCACUUCAACCAACACUCGACUACUGAUACUGAAUCUUGGUACUGCACAAGCAUCAUCAUUAACAUGGUCUCAAGCAGUGAAGUUCCACAAAAUUUACUGCAAUCUUGGUACUGGAAAUGUUUUACUCCUUCAAUGAAGUUCCACAAAUAUCUUGGUACUUCAACCAACAAAUGUACUCCAAAUGUUUUACGGGAGUAUGCUUGAGACCAUUAGGAGUGCCACACGGCUCCAGCAAUGUGUCCACCUAAAACACUUCAGAACAUUUAUUCAGGCGAGGUUAAUAGGAUGAACUGACUUGCAAACGUUUCAGAAUUGGCUGCCAAUGAGAGGAGGGUGAUGAAUUGACUUGCAACAAGUGCAUGAAGUAAGAUUUAUACAGAUUUACAGAGAUUCAGAUACAGUCAUUGAGGUCUGCUUGGCCUAGGCUGCAGUGCAUUCAGAUUCAGUCAUGGAAUGGAGUGAGAUGGAGAUGGUGCCUCACCUCUGUAUUUGGAGCUGCGGAGGAUCUUGGAGAUGACGGUGCAGUCGACGAAGCUGUCGUCCACCGCCAGGACGAGCGGCGGCUACUGGACCGUCCUCGACAUUGGGCAGCAGCAGAAGGGGAUGAAGUUGCCCUGCACCUCCCUCCAGACGUUGUUGGCCUUGUUGCUGCUGAUGAACAGGAGGCCGCGGAGCGCCCGGUGCACGCAGGAGCAAUGAAUCCGCUCCAUCUGGCCGCCGCACUUGUGGGACGCCAUGGAGCUCCAGAUUAAAGCCCUGGCCAAGUUAAAUGAGCUCCAGAUUAAAGCCCUGGUCGGGCAUGAGCAGCAGCAAGGGAGGGAGGGGGGAUGUACCGCAGCUGCCGGCGUUGCAGGUCGAGCCGCCGCGCUUCGGAUCCACCUGUCGGAAAGUAAAAAUGGGGUCCUGAAGGGCCGACGACGAGAGGGACAAUGGAGUGGCGGCGACGACACGAGAGGGAGAGGCAGAGCGACGCGGGCGAGGGAGAGGCGCCGGCAACACGGGCGACUGAGAGGCGCUGGCGACGAGUGCGAGGGAGAGGCGGCAGCGGCAGCGGCGAGCUAGGGAUUCGACUGGGGCGAGCCAGAGAGUGGGUGAGUGAGCGAGAGUGGACGAGAGAGGUGGGAGGGUAGUUUAGGAAACAACAAAAAAAUUGUACGUGACGAAUUUUACACUGAAACGUAUGGAACCUCUUCAAAGACUUAUAUUUAGGAACGGAAGGAGUAUAUAUUAAAGUGUAUACAUAUUAAUUAAACAUGGAUCAUACAAAAAAAAUAUUUUUAUACUUAUUAGAUAUAUUCAGAGUAUCACACAAAAAAACACAAUUUGAGAGAAGAAACCGAAUAUACUUGGUUUGUUUUGAAUUGCUUGCAUGCUUUUAUCUUUCGUCGAACAAUUUUCCUUAGCCUAUACAAAUAAAUUAAAAUGAUUUAAGAAAUUUCAGAUGAUUGUUUAUUUAUAUAUGAACGUACAAUUGAACAUUAUAGUUGGUUGUUUGCUUCGAGAGAAAUGCAAGAUCUUUUUUGAUAAUAUGAAAAAUGGAUUUUCUAUUUUACAAAAUAAAAUUGUUGGUUAGUUUCACUUUUAUUUUUAUUAUAUAUAUUAUAUAUGUUUCUUUCAUCAUAGAUAGAAAGUGAUGAGUUCCGACAUACGCACUGAUGUAACAAUGACUGGCCUGACUGAAACACUACGAGAAGAGGUACAUAUAGCUAAUCCUUUGUAUAUAUCUAAAGGUGUAUUCGUAUGUAUUUUUUUCAGAAUAUAGGAGACAUAGAUAUGGAAAUUGGAGAUGCACAAAAAAAAAUCCAUCGACAAGGGUUUCGAACCGACACCACUAAAAGGGGCCAAAAAUUUAUCAAAAUUUUUAUUACAUAAUAAUAUGGAAGCGGUGAUAUCUCAUAAAAAACGAAAAAUGAUGCCAAUUUAAAUGUUACAACACAAGGUGUCGUGGAAUUGUCACGGCAGAUGUCCUUAGUGUGAGGACUUAGUCGCGAGGCCAACGCAUCUAUGUGGUAGCUUGAGAGGGGUCGGGCGGAAUCGAGAGACACAACAUAAGACAAGGAUUUAGACAGCUUCCGGCUCCGGUAAACAUCAUCGGUAAUAACCCUACAUGCUGUUUGUGGCUAGGUCUCAUUAUGAUCAUGAGGAAGUUGCCCGAAAGCCGGAUCUUUGUGUCUAGCCCUAGAGAUUGUUUCUUAUUUCUUGUCCCUCUUUGGGGAGCCCUGCCCCUCCUUAUAUAAGUUGAAAGGCGGGUUACAUGACUAGUCCUAGUAGGAUUAGGAUUACUCUAUUACAAGUGGAUUCCUAGUCUUGCUUCCUUUGUAGGAGAAUAUUCCUUAUGCAUUUUCUCUUAAGCCGGCCCACCAUAGUAUGAGCCGGCCUUCUGGGCCUUGGGCCUUGUCUUCUAUCUGACCCGCCGUCAGGGCCAUCCGUGAGUUGCCAGACUCGUGAGUCGUCAAACCAGUGAGCCGCCAGACUCGUGAGUCGUCAGUCCUCCGGCGAGUUACCAAUGAAAAUGCCAAGCCCGGUCGGGUCAUACUUCCGGCCGGGUCAUGCCGCGGGGUAUAUCCCCAACAUUAGCCCCCAGUUUAAUUUGGAUUUAUCCAUGUUAAACUGAUCCUGUAAAAUAAACACAAGAACAAAUUUGAUAGAUUAUGCUCCGGGUUAAAUAUUUUCCUGAACCGGCACCUGAUCAUCCUUAAAUCCUUAUCAUUUCCUCCUGGAUGCAUGCUCAAGAUCUUAUAGCAAAUUUCCUUUAACAGAUAUGUUCAAACUUUACCAAUGCAAAAAAUCCAGGCACUUCUUUAAAAAAUCCGGGUCAAUAGGCUAGCUUCAUAACCAAUUUGCUGACAUUGGCUCUUGUAGAGAAAUAUUAUAAGAAAUAAUCCAUUUGAGUCAGCCUUCAAUGCUCUAAAAUAUUGGUCUUGAAAUAUUCAACUGAUAUUCAGCCGGCUUAAAGAUGUAGAUCUUGCCGAUUUAUGAUUGCCAAAAUUGCCGGGUUAUAAAUAAAUGAUGUCGGGUCAUGAUUGUUGCAGACACCGGGUUAAUCUGGUCUACUUCAAACUGAGAAUUUGAAGAUUUUUCCUCCCUUAUAUGCAUAUCACCUGUAGCCCCCAAGUGCAGGGUUGUUAUGCUUGUAGCAACCUGGGACUUGUAAUUACCUUAUGCUCAUGAAAACUUCAACCAGUGUAGCCCUCAAGGGUCAGGUCAUUGUGCAAUAAUGAGCAGGGACUUAGUAGAUAUAACCAUGUAAACUUGAACAGCAACAUGUAACCCCCUAAGAGCCGGCUCAGUAAGAUAAUACUAAGCUGGGACUUUGUAUAUAAUUUAUUGAUAAUAACAUCAUAUAAUAUAAUCUUCACCAUGGGGCUUGAACCCAUGUCCACAAGGUUAAGAGCUUUGUACUCUACCAACUGAGUAGUGAACCGUUCAAUAUAAUAGAUUAAUGCUUGCGUACCUUGAAUUUUUGACAGGAGCAAUUGGUAGCCCCCAAGGGUUGGCUCAUUACAAUGUGAUGAGUCGGGUCUUCAAUAAGUUGAGCAAAAAAUGACUUUGCAUUAGCCCCCAAGUACCAUGGUGCAUGCUGGCAGUGACAUGGGACUUGCAUAUUUGAUAUGAUCUCAAUCUGAAUAAUGUAGCCCCCAAGUGUUGGGUCGUAAGCCUGCAAUGACUCGGGACUAUUCCUUUCAUUGUAGAAUAAAUCAUAUUCAUUGAUAAAAAAUAGUCAUUGCACCAAAGCGACUAUGAAUACCUUAUCUGUUGACAAGUAAAUCCGGAGUUUAAAUACCCGGCGGUUCUUGGCCAAUGGCGAUUUAAUACGCUUACAUUGUAAGCCAGAAUUUUUAUAACUCGGCGGCUUAUAGCAUUUGAGAAAAUCCAGAACGGAUAAUCACUUUGAAGCAUCAAUUUUAAUGAUGAGCUUGAACUUAAGGAGUUAUAUAAGUCAUAAUUCUGCAAAUCCUGCAUAGAAUUUAAACAACAUAUGCCCUGGCGACUCAACGUCAAAAACCAGAGCAGGUAACAACUCAAACAUAAUAUAGUCUUUAAGCAAUUACAGAAAAGACUAGAAUUAAGGCCAUUCAAGCCUAAACAUACUAGCGACUUAACGUUAGAAGCCAGGGCGGUUUAUCCAACCUCGCAUAUUUAUAUAACCAGGAAAACAUACCUGUAGAAAUUGGCUCAUACUGCCAGCUUACAUCGCCGUAUCCAGUAAGGGCAAUAAUCCAAUGAUUGAUAAGCGCAUGAUUGGAAUGGCGCAAUCCAAAAAUAGACCGGCGACUUAAAAUCCAUAGCCAGGGCCGGUUUAAACAUAAUCAUGUAUAAACAAUAUCAUACCUGUGAUAUGGAAUCGUACUGCCGAUUUAUGAUACUUGUGCAGUAAGGGUGAUAACCCAAUCCUUAGAAGCUAACACUUUCCAAAUAUAUGAUGAAUGUCAUAUGCCGGCGACUUCGUCUAAAGCCAAGCCGGGUUAAUGAAACCACACUUAUACUUAGCCCGGAACAAAAAAGUCUCAAGACAAAAUCAAAGAUUGUUUUCAAAAACUUAAGCCAAAAAUAAGGAAAAAUCGAGGCUUCUAAUUCGAAUACGAUCAGUAAACCGUUCCAAAGGGGUUAAGCUAGGAUUCAAAUACGAUCAUAUAGCCCCCAGUGACUUUGGCGUUGCGCUGAUCAAGAGGGUACCGACAGCUAUGUUCUAUUUGGUUCGAAUACGACCUAUGUUUGAACAGGAAGCCCUUAAAUGAACUUGAGAGUUUUUUAACGACUCUGAUUCGAAUACGAUCAAAGUCGGACCCAAAAGGGGUUAAGCUAUGAUUUGAAUACGAUCAAGAAGCCCCCUAGUGAGUUUGGCAUUGUGCCGAUCAAGAGGGCACCGACAGCUAUGUUCUCUUUGGUUCAAAUACGACCUAUGUUUGAACAGGAAGCCCCCAAAUGACCUUGAGAGUUUUAUAACGACUCUGAUUCAAAUAUGAUCAAAGUCGGACCUAAAAGGGGUUAAGCUAGAUUCGAAUCAGCCCCCAAUGGUCAUUGAAGCGGGGUACCUAUGUUUGAGUUGUGCUUUGCAACAGACUCUCUUUGGUCCCUUUAAUUUUUCCUGAGAACUCGAACUUUGCGAGAGAUAAAUUCUUCUUGAGCCGGAAUUUUAAACCGGAUAUUGAGAGCUUCAAAGCUUUCUAAGAGACAGAUUUCUCUUGAGCCAGAUUUUCUUGGAGGGAUCUCUCCUAGGGUUUGAGAAGCUCGCAAUUUCGUCGGAUGAAAAAAAAGCCAGCAAAUUCAUUCUUGGUAAUAGGGAUUGUGAUUUACUUUGGAGCUGGUAGUACAAGGAUCAAAAGAAUUUGGAGUGUAUCGAGUACGGCGCCGCCGAUGCCGCAAGUCGAAGACAUACGCCAGAUCAAAUCGACACAAGGUUCAAGUCGCCAAGACCAACAUGAUUUGAUGAUUCCUUCGUCCGUGUUCAGAUCAAAUUCGAAGAGACUACUAUUCCCAAGGUGCUACCUGUACACGUGAAGGACUCGGACUACAAUCAAGAUCAGAAAGAAUUAGAGGAGCAAACGGCGGCGCGUGAAGAAGAAGAAAAAACAAAAACAAGGACGCCGGACGCAGCACAACCGCGUAUAUUGGGACAAAUGUGCCUGAUGCAAACUGUUGCCUCUACUCCCGUCAAAUCAAACUCCACGCAAAAGCAAAAGCUGCAGUCCUGUAGACUCAUCAGGUUGCAGGCGGAGAGAGAAGGAAAAACGAGUCCUAUACAAUUUGGUCAGCCAUUGCUGUUGUCUUCUUUACUACCAAAAUCAAUCUAUUCGGUGCAAUCAUGGACCAAGGUCAGAUUAAUACACGCAACUGCGGCCACGCAUCAAAGUCCAUGUACAGGCAAAAGUACAUUUUACAUCACAUCAAAACAUCCAUGAUGGCGCAGAUACGGGAUCGAUUUUUUCUAUAAAUUGUUGCGCCCGAACAAGUGACUCGUAUUCCCAGUUUUGCUACGCUCAGUGGCGAUGGCGGCAAUGCAGUCUACAUGCAUCAACUAGUAUUUAUGUGCAACAAGCCCGUCAGCCCCACUCCUAAAGGCAUUCAAAGGGCAAUCAUUAUUAAAAAAAACAGGAUACGCGGACGUGGGUUUUCCAAAUCCACCACGACCCGGAGACAGAUGCAGUCGUGGUGCAGAGCUCGGACUCCUCUACUACUGCUGCAUGGUUGCAGUUGUGGAUCGAGCCACCGACCACCACGACCCGCCCGUGCUCCGCCGGAUUUCCAUCUCUGCUUGCAUGACCUUGAGUGGUCCUUUGUUCGGCCUCGUUGAACCGCCGGAUGCUGUCGCCGCCGCUGCCCGUCACCUUGGCCAAGCCGCCGUGCUCCAUCUCACGGAAGGCCUCGCUCCUCUGACCCGCCAUCGGCUGCUGCCGCGUGGCAUCUACAGGCUGCAGGCCCUGACUUCUCCUCCUAUACGCUCCUCUGUUGGCUGAAGAAAAGACAGGAGGUAUCGGCUAAAAAAAAGGUGCCAAGCUACCACACAAAAUUAUCGGGGCUGUGUUUGACGAAAGGUGAUGGAUGUUUCAAGUACUAGUGCAUUUCCACCGAGUGCAUUAUAACAAAGGAUCAUAUAUCGUCCGAAUAUAUCAGGUGAUAUCCAUCCAGUUUUCUUUUUAUCAGUACUUAUUAAUUUUUUGUGAAAACAACCACUCUGCCCUAUAGUGUUGUUAUACGCAGGUAGAUUAUUCAUUACAAAAGUAUUGAUAUACCGCGGAUAUGGAGCAUGCGCCAACAUCAUUUUUUAUUGGCGUUCGUCUGUGUCGUGCAACUUCACCGACACGCGUGUAAGCCGCCGACCCUGCGGUCCAGUCUACAUCAAUGCGCCACCCGACUUGCCCAUCCACGCCGCCUUACAACGCCACGGAUGACUUGCCCGUCCACCCUCGCGGCCGGCUCACAUGUCUGCGCGGGCUUACAAUGUGAUGGACAACUUACAGUCCGCCCCCCGCGGCCGACGCUCCCGUCCACGCGGCUUACCGCGCCCGCGAUUGACUCGCCCGUCUGCACCAGCUUACAACGUCGCGGCCGGUUCAUUUGUCUGCUCCCACGGCCGACUAGACCGUGACUGAUUUCAACUUUACCAUAGUCAUCGUCAACUCCGCAGUGGAUAAUUUUUGACCUGACAUAUCAUGUGAAAUCCAUCCAGUAUAUUUUUUAUAUUACAUAUUAUUUUUUUUAAAAGAGCAAUUACUUUGGUUUGCAAGAUCUCCAAUGCUGGACUCAAAAUCAGUCUAUAUCACGGUUAACUAUGGAGAAUUUCGAGCCAACUCAUUGAGUCGUCUUAAGACUCGGGGGCUCCAUGGACAUGGCUAAGUAAAUGUUGCCAGUUUAAAGGCCGUCAGAAAAAUUUCUGGCUCAAAAUGAAGAAUAUCCGGUUUAAAAUCCGGUUCAAGAGAAAUCUGUCUCUUACAAAGCUUUGAAGCUCUCAAUAUCCGGUUUAAAAUUUCGGCUCAAGAAGAAUUUAUCUCUCACAAAGUCCGAGUUCUCAGGAAAAAUUAAAGGGACCAAAGAGAGUCUGUUGCAAAGCACAACUCAAACAUAGGUGUCCCGCUUCAAUGACCAUUGGGGGCUGAUCGUAUUCAAAUCUAGCUUAACCCUUUUUAGGUCCGACUUUGAUCGUAUUCGAAUCAGAGUCGUUAAAAAACUCUCAAGGUCAUUUGAGGGCUUCCUGUUCAAACAUAUGUCGUAUUCGAACCAAAGAGAACAUAGCUGUCGGUACCCUCUUGAUCGGCACAAUGCUAAACUCACUAGGGGGCUUCUUGAUUGUAUUCGAAUCAUAGCUUAACACCUUUUGGGUCCGACUUUGAUCGUAUUCGAAUCAGAGUCGUUAAAAAACUCUCAAGGUAAUUUGGGGGCUUCCUGUUCAAACAUAGGUCGUAUUCGAACCAAAAAGAACAUAACUAUCGGUAUCCUCUUGAUCGGCACAACGCCAAAGCCACUGGGGGCUACAUGAUCGUAUUCGAAUCCUAGCUUAACCCCUUUGGAACGGUUUACUGAUCGUAUUCGAAUCAGAAGCCUCGAUUUUUCUUUCUUUUUGGCUUAAGUUUUUGAAAGCAAUCUUUGAUUUUGUCUUGAGACUUUUUUGUUCCGGUCUAAGUAUAAGUGUGGUUUCAAUUUAACCCGACUUGGCUUUGGACGAUAAGUCGCCAGCAUAUGACAUUCACCAUAUAUUUGGAAGUGUUAGCUUCUAAGGAUUGGGUUAUCACCCUUACUGUACAAGUAUCAUAAACCGGCAGUACGAUUCCAUAUCACAUGUAUGAUAUUUUUUAUACAUGAUUAUGUUUAAACCGGCCCUGGCUAUGGAUUUUAAGUCGCCGGUCUAUUUUUGGAUUGCGCCAUCCUAAUCAUGCGCUUAUCAAUCAUUGGAUUAUUGCCCUUACUGGAUACGACGAUGUAAGCUGGUAGUAUGAGCCAAUUUCUACAGGUAUGUUUUCCCGAUUAUAUAAAUAUGCGAGGUUGGAUAAACCGCCCUGGCUUCUGAUGUUAAGUCGCUAGUAUAUUUAUGCUUGAACGGCCUUAAUUCUAGUCUUUUCUAUAAUUGCUUAAAGACUAUAUUAUGUUUGGGUUGUUACCCACCCUGGUUUUUGAUGUUAAGUCGCCAUGGCAUAUGUUGUUUAAAUUCUGUGCAGGAUUUGCAGAAUUAUGACUUAUACAACUCCUUAAGUUCAAGCUCAUCAUUAAAAUUGAUGCUUCAAAGUGAUUAUCCAUUCUGGAUUUUCUCGAAGGCUAUAAGCCACCGAGUUAUAAAAGUUCCAGCUUACAAUGUAAGCGUAUUAAAUCGCCAUUGGCCAAGAACCGCCGGGUAUUUAAACUCCAGAUUUACUUGUCAAUAGAUAAGGUAUUCAAAGUCGCUUUGGUGCAAUGGCUAUUAUUUUAUCAAUGGAUAUGAUUUAUUCUACAAUGGAAGGAAUAGUCCCGAGUCACUGCAGGCUUACGACCCGGCACUUGGGGGCUACAUUAUUCAGAUUGAGAUCAUAUCAAAUAUGCAAGUCCCAUGUCACUGCCAGCAUGCACCAUGGCACUUGGGGGCUAAUGCAAAGUCAUUUUUGGCUCAACUUAUUGAAGACCCGACUCAUCACAUUGUAAUGAGCCGGCUGUCAGUGUCAAAACCGGCGGAUCUCGGGUAGGGGGUCCCGAUCUGUGCGUCAAGGCUGAUGGUAAUAGGAAGCAAGGGACACAGAUGUUUACCCGAGUUCGGACCCUCUCGAUGGAGGUAAAACCCUACUUCCUGCUUGAUUGAUAUUGAUGAUAUGGGUAGUACAAGAGUAGAUCUACCACGAGAUCUACUCUAAGAGCUAGCCUAUGAUGGUAUGAUUGUAAUUGUGAUCGGCCUUCUAAGGACCAACCUCUCCGAUUUAUAGACACCGGAGAGGGCUAGGGUUUACAUGGAGUCGGUUACAAGAAAGGAAACACAAUAUCCAGAUCGCCAAGCUUGCCUUCCACGUCAAGGAGAGUCCCAUGCGAACACGGGCUGUAGUCUUGAGUCUUGUAUCUUCACGCUUCAAUAGUCCGGACGUUGUACACAGUCCCGCUGUCUGGAUACCCCCUAAUCCAGGACUCCCUCAGUAGCCCCUGAACCAGGCUUCAAUGAUGAUGAGUCCGACGCGCAAUAUUGUCUUCAGCAUUGCAAGGCGGGUUCCUCCUUCGAAUACUCCAAAGUACCUGUUACGACGAAUAGUGUCCGGCCUCCAAUAAAUGUUGUGCUCCUCGGCUUCAGUGCCUCAAUAAUGACCAUCUCCAUGUGCCGAGCGAAUGCGAGGAGUUGAGGCAUUUUUGCAUUUGCCACCCUCAAUCCUCCGGGCUGACCGUCUAUUUGAAGGGACGGGGAUUCUCAGAUCCAAACUACACUCUCCCUCCUAGAGCUAGCAUCCAACAGAGCGCUCCGCGAAAAACCAUUCCAACAUGGCUGGCCGUCGCAACUCCUCUGCUCGCCUUUCUCAUUCUCAGUCGGGGGAUUGGGGAGAGUGCUCAGUUCCCCAUAGCUGCUUGAUAAAGUUACAAACCCAAGGGUUUCUCCCACCAGCGUUCAUGGUCCCUGUCCGAGCUGGAAUAGCUACUUAUGACGGAGGGGAACAAGCAGAGGGAUCUCCCAAUCCAUCUCCAGAGGAGCGUAUCUGCCUCAUCACGCAUCUGUUGAGGGGCGUCGGGUUUCCUAUCCACCCAUUUCUUCGCGGGCUCCUGGAGUUCUACGGCCUCCAGUUACACAAUCUUACCCCUGCCUCCAUUCUGCACAUAGCGGAGUACGUCGCCCUUUGCGAGCUGUUUUUAGGCUGCAAGCCGCACUUCGGAUUAUGGAGGAAGCUGUUCUGCCUCGUCCCCCGCACCCAGGGAGAAUCCCUAUGCCAAGUGGGCGGUGCCGAAGUAUGGCGCAUUGCCGAGACCGGAUACCUAUCCGGCACUCCUGAGAAGGCACCAGAAAACUGGCCUUCAGAGUGGUUCUAUAUAGAUGACGUUCCCCUUCCGGAUCCAGUCUGGACGGCUCUCCCCAAGUUCAGCAACACCCCGCCGAGGGCACGCCUAAGCUGGCGCCCCCGGGGUCCUCAAGAAGAGGACACAAGGGAAAUACACUCCCUGAUGAACAGGAUAAAGCUACUGGCCAAAUCUGGACUGACGAUAGUUGAGGUCAUGGCAAUAUGUAUAAGGCGGGGAGUGCAACCGCUUCAAUAUCGGGGGAAGCCCAUGUGGCACUUCAACGGGGAAGACGAUGCCACCUCCUGCAGCCGUAAGGGUCCGGACUCCGCUGCUGCUUUGGCAAGGAUAUUGUCCGAUUUGUACAAAGGGGAAGAGGAGGAAUUCCUUCGCAUUAAAACGCGGGACGGAUUCUCCAUGUACAACCCCCCAGAGUGGGUAAGUCGCCAUUCUUUUCACUGCUUCACUUACUCUAGCACUCUUCUGCUAAGAUUACCUGCAUCGAUGUUUCCGAACAGGAACUAAGGAGGGCCGUAGAAGGAAUCUUCAGCCCCUCCCCGCAGCCGGAGGACCUCGGAAGGACCCUAGAUCCGGGACUCAAAGAAGAUCUGGAUAUUACCGUGGAACUCGUCAAUGGGGUAUUUUAUCAAGAGAGCUGGGAUGGUGCCUUAGUGGCCAUUAUAGCCGACUAUCCCGGACUGCUCCCUAUGUCGCGUGUAAGCCGAGCUAAAAAAAACCCUAUCCUCCGAGGAGGACUUCUCCCAGGCAUUAUGCCCUACUCUGAAGGUGUCGUACUAUUUGCAGAAACGACGGUCGGAACAUGGGGCCGAGCCCCUAGGGACUCGUCAACCACAGACGUCCGGAUCAGGCAGGCUCAAGAGGAAGGCGGUGAGGGUCGACACACCGCUGCAGAGGUAAAGUGAUAACCUAUCUUGUGAUUAUAGUAUUUGAAAUAUGAUAGCGCCCUUUGUGUCUGGCAGGAAGAGGAGCAGCUGGAUUAUAUCCGGGAAUCCCGCCAAUCACGCCUCCACCAGCCAGGUUCCAGAACCGGCUCUGAGGGCGGAGGCGGGCACGGGGCCAGUACCGCAUUAAUUCUCAGACAGAGGAUGCGGAUAUGUGUUCGGCUACGAACUCCGAAGUGGAGAGCACCAUGAAUCACCGGCGCCGGAGGGCCGUGCUUCGGAACAACAUCUUUUCCGAAGAGGCUUUUAACGCCUUCAAUUCGGCAGAUGCAUACAUCUGAGCUACUCGAGGCGGGCUUGCCCAAGCAACGAACCAGUAUACCAAAAAUAUAUGGGUAAGAAAGCUUAACAAGUAUGUAUAGCAGUAGCCCUUGAGACUUGAAAUAGUUGGGACAACUAUUUGAAGGAUCAAUUUAUGCGCAGGUCCUUGUGGACAAGAAUGAACAAUUGGCUUGGGAGCUGGAGGCAUGUAAGGCCCAGCUGAUCGACGCGGUUGCCAAGUUAGAGGAAUCCCAGAAGGCCCCCUCUGGUAAUGCUUGUUUCUAUUGUACGCAGAUGUACCAGUUAGUAAAUGACUGGUGUGAUUAGUCUAACAGAAAAUUCUGCAGACAAUCCCGGAGUGAAUCCGAAGGGCGUAACGGAUGACGACUUGCAUCUCAAAAGGCAGCUAAAGGCUGGCGAGCACAUCCUUACGCAAGUGGCGCAAGAGAGGAACAAUCUACAAGAUGCCAAUAUUCGGCUGGACAUCGAACUAAAGGACGUCCGCUCUCAACUGGUGAACUCCGUGAAGGAGAACAAAAGGCUUCGAUGCGGCAUCUAUGGUGAGUGCUCAAACGAACUGUAUGAUAGUUCGGCGAGGAAGUAUUUUGAAGGAAUUUUGCUUGCAAGAAUGUUAACAGGUCGCCCUGAAGAGGAGAUGCCCCCAUCUGCAAGUGAUUUUUUGCAAGAACUUUCGGAGUUGCACGAGCGUGUUCGACAGGUGAUGCACGGCGUUGCUCAGGCCUUGUGGCCAUCAAGCCUCCUGCCGAAUGGCAUGGGAGAGCUUGCGGACCUGCUUCAAGGAGCCCGGCGGCGCUUCCGCCUGUGGAAGAUAUCCGCAUGCCGGCAAGGUGCAAGAGAAGCCUGGGCGAUGGUGAAGACGCGCUACACCAAGCUGGACCUGAACCAUAUGGCCGAAAUAGGACCGGCGGGGCCCGAUGGGCAAGAAAUUCCCGGAAGUCUGGUAUAUGACCAGGUAGCGUUAGCCGCUAAGUAUUCCCAAUAGGAUUGUAAGCUAGAUAGCAUGUUAGAUGGUAUAGAGGAGGAAUAUGGUCAGUCCAAGUGACUGUGUAAUUUAAUGGGCAUAAGUAGCCCCUAGCCGGAUUAAAAUCAUUUGUCAUGGCGGACCUUUUUGCUUCAGCCCCCGGAUCCUAUAGUCCGGGGUGUGUCCAAAUACCCGCUCGGUUAUACAAAACCGGGGUAUGCAUGGAGACCAGGCGUAGGGGUCAUAAGUGCUUGAACAGACAAGUACCCAACUAGUUAUGUUAUAUUACAUGGAUAGUAAGAAACAUCUUCUAGGGAGAAUAGUUCCGUUAGGGGUUCCUUUCCCUGGGUACGCAUGCGUCAAUGCACAUGUCCGAACUGCGAACGAUGGCGCAGGAUACAAAACUUCUGGGUUUUUUUGUUGUAACCAACGAAUACAUCCUUUGUUCACUGAUUGAAUAUUCUCUUAAGGAAACUAGCUUUCGACUUCACCCAGUCUGAGGUACACAUCCGGCUGAACCGACAGUAACAAUCGCAGAGGUGCUCCCCUUAUGCCCUAGCCGAAUUAACGGGAACAUAGGGCAUAAACACAAGAGCCAGGCAACCCAGCUUGGCCACAUCUUAAGUCAUAUUGAUGCAUAUAAUGGUGAAGAAAAGGCACAUAUGGAAAAAGAACGCAUAUGUGAUUGGCAAAAGGCCAUUUAAAGUAAUUAUUUUUAGCUUCCGAAUAGGAAGUCCCUAGGUAUUUCUUACACACAUAGUGCGACCGGAGUAAUCCGGGGGUCCGUACUGUAUUAAGUACUUUGUGUGAAGAGAAAAAGGGUCGAGAAAGGAAAAGUGGGGUGGAGCGUAAGUAAAAAGGGGGAGUAGGGAGACGAACACUAAGUUCGGCGUUAGGCGUAGAAUCUCUGGAGUCUGGCCGCGUUCCAUGAGUUCGGCUCGAGUCUGUUGUCCGAUGCAUUACGUAAGCGGUACGCUCCUCCAGUGAGAACUUUGUCAAUGACGAAGGGGCCCUCCCACUUGGGUUUGAGUUUGUCCUUCUUCUUCUCUGGUAGGCGUAGAACGAGCUCGCCAAUAUUGUAAGUUUUGGCCCGCAAUUCUCUGCUUUGAUAUCGUUGAGCCUGCUGCUGAUAGAAUGCGGAACGGGCUUUUGCGACAUCGCGCUCCUCCUCCAGGGCAUCCAAGUUAUCCUACCGAUCUAACUCGGCUUCCUUCUCUUCGUACAUGAGUACGCAUGGCGAAUCAUGUAUUAUGUCGCAUGGUAGUACUGCUUCUGCACCGUACACCAUAAAAAUGGUGUAUAUCCGGUGGUGCGAUUCGGUGUGAUCCGCAUCCCCCAGAGUACGGAGUCGAGCUCCUCCACCCAGUGCGUAUCCGAUUCUGUUAAAGAUCGCACUAGUCUGGGUUUGAUGCCGCUCAUGAUGAGAUCGUUUGCCCGUUUGACCCGGCCGUUUGUUUUGGGGUGGUAGACGGAAGCAUAGUCGAGCUUAAUGCCCAUUUUGCCACACCAAGUUUUCACUUCAUCGGCUGCAAAAUUUGAGCCAUUAUCAGUGAUGAUGCUGUGGGGGACACCGUAUCGGUGUACGACCCCGGAUAUGAAGUCUAUUACUGGUCCGGAUGUUGGGGAACGUAGUAAUUUCAAAAUUUUCGUACGCACACGCAAGAUCAUGGUGAUGUAUAGCAACGAGAAAGGGAGUGUAUCUUCAUACCCUUGAAGAUCGCUAAGCGGAAGCGUUUAUCAACGCGGUUGGUGUAGUCGUACGUCUUCACGAUCCGACCGAUCCAAGUACCGAACGCACGGCACCUCCGAGUUCUGCACACGUUCAGCUCGAUGACGUCCUCGCCUUCUCGAUCCAGCAAGACGGGCGAAGUAGUAGAUGAGUUCCGGCAGCACGACGGUGUGGUGACGGUGUUGGUGAAGAACAAUCUCCGCAGGGCUUCGCCUAAGCACUACAAAAACUAUGACGGAGGAUAAACUAGAGGGGACGGGGUUGCCGGCACACGGCUUGGUGUUUCUUGAUGAUUCUUUGGUGCUAGCCCCGCCCCUUUAUUUAUAUGUUGAACCCUGGGGUCGAAACUUGGAGUAAAAGCCUCCACAAAGUCGGUUUCACCCGAAAGGCAAGAGUCCUUCUUGGACUCCAGGGCCAGACGCCAGGGUUCCCGGCGUCUGGACCCAGACGCCAGGGACCCUGGCGCCUGGCCCCUGGACUCCGCAAAACUUCCUUUUGCGCUUUCCAAAAACCUUCUGGGGUUUCCCCUUUGGCCCAAAUAACGUGUCCUCGUAACCAAACAUUUCGGGAAACAUUCGGAACCCCUUCCGGUGAAUUCCAGAACCCUUCCGGAGAUCAAACACUAUUAUCCCAUAUAUCAAACUUUAUUUCCGGACCAUUCCGGAGUUCCUCGUCAUGUCCAUGAUCUCAUCCGGGACUCCGAACAACAUUCGGUUACCAACAUACAUAACUCAUAUAAUAUUAUAUUGUCAACGAAACGUUAAGCGUGCGGACCCUACGGGUUCGAGAACUAUGUAGACAUGACCUAGAACUUGUUUCCGGUCAAUAACCAAUAGUGGGACCUGGAUGCCCAUAUUGGCUCCCACAUAUUCUACGAAGAUCUUUAUCGGUCAAACCGCAUAACAACAUACAUUGUUCCCUUUGUCAUCAGUAUGUUACUUGCCCGAGAUUUGAUCGUCGGUAUCCAAUACCUAGUUCAAUCUCGUUACCGGCAAGUCUCUUUACUCAUUACGUAAUGCAUCAUUCAGUAACUAACUCAUUAGCUACAUUGCUUGCAAGGCUUAUAGUGAUGUGCAUUACCGAGAGGGCCCAGAGAUACCUCUCCGACAAUCGGAGUGACAAAACCUAAUCUUGAAAUACGCCAACCUAACAUGUACCUUCGGAGACACCUGUAGUACUCCUUUAUAAUCACCCAAUUACGUUGUGACGUUUGGUAGCACCCAAAGUGUUCCUCUGAUAAACGGGAGUUGCAUAAUCUCAUAGUUACAUGAACAUGUAUAAGUCAUGAAGAAAGCAAUAGCAAUAUACUAAACGAUCAAGUGCUAGGCUAACGGAAUGGGUCGUGUCAAUCACAUCAUUCUCCUAAUGAUGUGAUCCCAUUAAUCAAAUGACAACACAUGUCUAUGGUUAGGAAACAUAUCCAUCUUUGAUUAACGAGCUAGUCAAGUAGAGGCAUACUAGUGACAUUAUGUUUGUCUAUGUAUUCACACAUGUAUUAUGUUUCCGGUUAAUACAAUUCUAGCAUGAAUAAUAAACAUUUAUCAUGAAAUAAGGAAAUAGAUAAUAACUUUAUUAUUGCCUCUAGGGCAUAUUUCCUUCAGUCUCCCACUUGCACUAGAGUCAAUAAUCUAGUUCACAUCGCCAUGUGAUUUAACACUAAUAUUCAUAUCUGUAUAUGAUUAACACCCAUAGUUCACAUCGUCAUGUGACUAACACCCAAAGGGUUUACUAGAGUCAAUAAUCUAGUUCAUAUAGCUAUGUGAUUAACACCCAAAGAGUACUGAUGUGUGAUCAUGUUUUGCUCGUGAGAGAAGCUUAGUCAACGGGUCUAUCACAUUCAGAGCCGUAUGUAUUUUGCAAAUAUUCUAUGUCUACAAUGCUCUGCAUGGAGCUAUUCUAGCUAAUUGCUCCCACUUUCAAUAUGUAUCCAGAUUGAGACUUAGAGUCCUCUGGAUUGGUGUAAAAGUUUGCAUCAUUGUAACUUUUUACGACAAGCUCUUUUAUCACUUCUAUUAUCGAGAAAUAUUUCCUUAGUCCUCACUAAGGAUAUUCUUGACCGCUGUCCAAUGAUCUACUAUUAGAUCAAAAUUGUAUUCCUUUGCCAAACUCAGAGCAAGGUAUACAAUAGGUCUGGUACACAACAUAGCAUACUUUAUAGAACCUAUGACUGAGGCACAGGGAAUGACUUUUCAUUCUCUUUCUAUUUUCUGCCGUGGUCGGGAUUUGAGUCUUACUCACUUUCACACCUUGCAACACAGGCAAGAACUCCUUCUUUGACUGUUCCAUUUUGAACUACUUCAAAAUCUUAUCAAGGUAUGUACUCAUUGAAAAAACUUAUCAAGCGUCUUGAUCUAUCUAUAUAGAUCUUGAUGCUCAAUCUGUGAGCAGCUUCACCGAGGUCUUUCUUUGAAAAACUCCUUUCAAACAUUCCUUUAUGCUUUCCAGAAAAUUCUACAUCAUUUCCAAUUAAUAAUAUGUCAUUCACAUAUACUUAUCAGAAAGGCUGUAGUGCUCCCACUCACUUUCUUGUAAAUACAGGCCUUUUCCAAAGGUCUGUAUAAAACCAUAUGCUUUGAUCAACUCAUCAAAGCAUAUAUUCCAAUUCCGAGAUGCUUGCACCAGUCCAUUGAUGGAUUGCUGGAGCUUGCACACUUUGUUAGCAUCUUUAGGAUUGACAAAACCUUCUGGUUGCAUCAUAUACAACUCUUCUUUAAUAAAUCCAUUAAGGAAUGCAGUUUUGACAUCCAUUUGCCAGAUUUCAUAAAAUGUGGCAAUUGCUAACAUGAUUCGGAUAGACUUAAGCAUCGACACGAGUGUGAAAAUCUCAUCGUAUUCAACACCUUGAACUUGUUGAAAACCUUUUGCAACAAGUCGAGAUUAGUGGAUAGUAACACUACUAUCAAUGUCCGUCUUCCUCUUGAAGAUCCAUUUAUUUAACAUGGCUUGCUGAUCAUCGAGCAAGUCAAUCAAAGUCCAUACUUUGUUCUCAUACAUGGGUCAUAUCUCAGAUUUUAUGGCCUCAAGCCAUUUCGCGGAAUCUGGGCUCAUCAUCGCUUCCUCAUAGUUCGUAGGUUCAUCAUGGUCUAGUAACAUGACUUCCAGAACACGAUUACCGUACCACUCUGGUGCGGAUCUUACUCUGGAAGACCUACGAGGUUUGGUAGCAACUUGAUCCGAAGUUUCAUGAUCAUCAUCAUUAACUUCCUCACUAAUUGGUGUAGGAAUCACUGGAACUGAUUUCUGUGAUGAACUAUUUUCCAAUUCGGGAGAAGGUACAAUUACCUUAUCAAGCUCUACUUUCCUCCCACUCACUUCUUUCGAGAGAAACUCCUUCUCUAGAAAGGAUCCAUUUUUAGCAACGAAUAUCUUGCCUCCGGAUCUGUGAUAGAAGGUGUACCCAACAAUUUCCUUUGGGUAUACGCACUUCUCCGAUUUGGGUUUGAGCUUAUCAGGAUGAAACUUUUUCACAUAAGCAUCGCAGCCCCAAACUUUAAGAAACGACAACUUGGGUUUCUUGCUAAACCACAGUUCAUAUGGUGUCGUCUCAACGGAUUUAGAUGGUGCCCUUUUAACGUGAAUGCAGCUGUCUCUAAUGCAUAACCCCAAAACAAUAGUGGUAAAUCAGUAGGAGACAUCAUAGAUCGCACCAUAUCCAAUAAAGUGCGGUUACGACGUUCGGACACACCAUAACGUUGUGGUGUUCUAGGUGGCAUGAGCUGUGAAACUAUUCCAUGUUGUUUUAAUUGAAGACAAAACUCGUAACUCAAAUAUUCGUCUCCGCGAUCAGAUCGCAGAAACUUUAUUUUCUUGUUACGAUGAUUUUUCCACUUCACUCUGAAAUUCUUUGAACCUUUCAACUAUUUUAGACUUAUGUUUCAUCAAGUAGAUAUACCCAUAUCUGCUCAAAUCAUCUUGUGAAGGUCAGAAAAUAAUGAUACCCGCCACGAGCCUUAAUACUUAUUGGUUUGCAUACAUCAGUAUGUAUUAUUUCCAAUAAGUCAGUAGCUCAUUCCAUUGUUCCGAAGAACGGAGUUUUUGUCAUCUUGCCCAUGAGGCAUGGUUCGCAAGCAUCAAGUGAUUCAUAAUCAAGUGAUUCCAAAAUCCCAUCAGCAUGGAGUUUCUUCAUGCGCUUUACACCAAUAUGACCUAAACGGCAGUGCCACUAAUAGGUUACACUAUCAUUAUUAACUUUGCAUCUUUUGGCAUCAAUAUUAUGAAUAUGUGUAUCACUACGAUCGAGAUCCAACAAACUAUUUUCAUUGGGUGUAUGACCAUUGAAGGUUUUAUUCAUGUAAAUAGAACAACAAUUAUUCUUUGACUUUAAAUGAAUAACCGUAUUGUAAUAAACAUGAUCAAAUCAUAUUCAUGCUCAACGCAAAUGCCAAAUAACAUUUAUUUAGGUUUAACACUAAUCCCGAAAGUAUAGGGAGUGUGCGAUGAUGAUCAUAUCAAUCUUGGAACUACUUCCAACACUCAUCGUCACUUCCCCUUCAACUAGUCUCUGUUUAUUCUGUAACUCCUGUUUCGAGUUACUAAUCUUAGCAACCGAACAAGUAUCAAAUACUCAGGGGUUACUAUAAACACUAGUAAGGCACAUAUCAAUAACCUGUAUAUCAAAUAUACCCUUGUUCACUUUGCCAUCCUUCUUAUCCACCAAAUAUUCAGGGCAUUUCCGCUUCCAGUGACCAUUUCCUUUGCAGUGUAAGCACUCAGUUUCAGGCUUUGGUCCAACUUUGGUCUUCUUCACGGGAGUGACAACUUGUUUGCCAUUCUACUUGAAGUUUCCCUUUCUUUCCCUUUGCCCUUUUCUUGAAACUAGUGGUCUUGUCAAUCAUCAACACUUGAUGCUCUUUCUUGAUUUCUACCUUCGUUGAUUUCAACAUCACGAAGAGCUCGGGAAUCAUUUUUGUCAUCCUUUGCAUACUAUAGUUCAUCACGAAGUUCUACUAACUUGGUGAUGGUGACUAGAGAACUCUGUCAAUCACUAUCUUAUCUGGAAGAUUAACUCCCACUUGAUAAGCGAUUGUAGUACCCAGACAGUCUGAGCACUUGCUCACUAGUUGAGCGAUUCUCCUCCAUCCUUUAGCUAUAGAACUUGUUGGAGACUUCAUAUCUCUCAACUCGGGUAUUUGCUUGAAAUAUUAACUUCAAUUCCUGGAACAUCUCAUAUGAUCCAUGACGUUCAAAACGUCUUUGAAGUCCCGAUUCUAAGCCGUUAAGCAUGGUGCACUAAACUAUCAAGUAGUCAUCAUAUUGAGCUAGCCAAACGUUCAUAACGUCUGCAUCUGCUCCCGCAAUAGGUUUGUCACCUAGCGGUGCAUCAAGGACAUAAUUCUUCUGCGCAACAAUGAGGAUAAACCUAAGAUCACGGAUCCAAUCUGCAUCAUUGCUACUAACAUUUUUCAACACAAUUUUCUCUAGGAACAUAUCAAAAUAAUCAUAUGAAAGCAACAACGCAAGCUAUUGAUCUACAACAUAAUUUGCAAAAUACUACCAGGACUAAGUUCAUGAUAAAUUUAAGUUCAAUUAAUCAUAUUACUUAAGAACUCCCACUUAGAUAGACAUCCCUCUAAUCCUCUAAGUGAUUACGUGAUCCAUAUCAACUACACCAUGUCCGAUCGUCACGUGAGAUGGAGUAGUUUCAACGGUGAACAUCAAUAUGUUGAUCAUAUCUACUAUAUGAUUCACGGUCGACCUUUCGGUCUCCGUGUUCCGAGGCCAUAUCUGUUAUAUGCUAGGCUCGUCAAGUUUAACCUGAGUAUUCCGCGUGUGCAACUGUUUUGCACCCGUUGUAUUUGAACGUAGAGCCUAUCACACCCGAUCAUCACGUGGUGUCUCAGCACGAAGAACUUUCGCAAUGGUGCAUACUCAGGGAGAACACUUCUUGAUAAUUUAGUGAGAGAUCAUCUUAAAAUGCUACCGUCAAUCAAAGCAAGAUAAGAUGCAUAAAGGAUAAACAUCACAUGCAAUCAAUAUAAGUGAUAUGAUAUGGCCAUCAUCAUCGUGUGCUUGUGAUCUCCAUCUCCGAAGCACCGUCGUGAUCACCAUCGACACCGGCGCGACACCUUGAUCUCCAUCGUAGCAUCGUUGUCGUUACGCCAUCUAUUGCUUCUACGACUAUCGCUACCGCUUAGUGAUAAAGUAAAGCAAUUACAGGGCGUUUGCAUUUCAUACAAUAAAGCGACAACCAUAUGGCUCCUUCCAGUUGCCGAUAACUUCGGUUACAAAACAUGAUCAUCUCAUACAAUAAAAUAUAGCAUCACGUCUUGACCAUAUCACAUCACAACAUGCCCUGCAAAAACAAGUUAGACGUCCUCUACUUUGUUGUUGCAAAUUUUACGUGGCUGCUACGGGCUGAGCAAGAACCAUUCUUACCUACGCAUCAAAACCACAACGAUAGUUCUUCAAGUUGGUGCUGUUUUAACCUUCGGAAGGACCGGGCGUAGCCACACUCGGUUCAACUAAAGUUGGAGAAACAGACACCCGCUAGUCAUCUGUGUGCAAAGCACGACGGUAAAACCAGUCUCGCGUAAGCGUACGCGUAAUGUCGGUCCGGGCCGCUUCAUCCAACAAUACCGCUGAACCAAAGUAUGACAUGCUGGUAAGCAGUAUGACUUGUAUCGCCCACAACUCACUUGUGUUCUACUCAUGCAUAUAACAUCAACGCAUAAAACAUAGGCUCUGAUACCACUGUUGGGGAACGUAGUAAUUUCAAAAUUUUCCUACGCACACGCAAGAUCAUGGUGAUGUAUAGCAACGAGAAAGGGAGUGUAUCUUCAUACCCUUGAAGAUCGCUAAGCGGAAGAGUUUAUCAACACGGUUGAUGUAGUCGUACGUCUUCACGAUCCGACCGAUCCAAGUACCGAACACACGGCACCUCCGAGUUCUGCACACGUUCAUCUCGAUGACGUCCUCGCCUUCUCGAUCCAGCAAGACGGGCGAAGUAGUAGAUGAGUUCCGGCAGCACGACGGCGUGGUGAUGGUGUUGGUGAAGAACAAUCUCCGCAGGGCUUCGCCUAAGCACUACAGAAACUAUGACGGAGGAUAAACUAGAGGGGACGGGGUUGCCGGCACACGGCUUGGUGUUUCUUGAUGAUUCUUUGGUGCUAGCCCUGCCCCUCUAUUUAUAUGUUGAGCCUUGGGGUCGAAACUUGGAUUAAAAGCCUCCACAAAGUCGGUUUCACCCGAAAGGCAAGAGUCCUUCUCGGACUCCAGGGCCAGACGCCAGGGUUCCCGGCGUCUGGACCCAGACGCCAGGGACCCUGGCGUCUGGCCCCUGGACUCCACAAAACUUCCUUUUGCGCUUUCCAAAAACCUUGUGGGCUUUCCCCUUUGGCCCAAAUAACGUGUUCUCGUACCCAAACAUUUCGGGAAACAUCCGGAACCCCUUCCUGUGAAUUCCGGAACCCUUCCGGAGAUCAAACACUAUUAUCCCAUAUAUCAAACUUUAUCUCCGGACCAUUCCGGAGUUCCUCGUCAUGUCCAUGAUCUCAUCCGGGACUCCGAACAACAUUCGGUUACCAACAUACAUAACUCAUAUAAUACUAUAUUGUCAACAAAACGUUAAGUGUGCGGACCCUACGGGUUCGAGAACUAUGUAGACAUGACCUAGAACUUGUUUCCGAUCAAUAAACAAUAGCGGGACUUGGAUGCCCAUAUUGGCUCCCACAUAUUCUACGAAGAUCUUUAUCGGUCAAACCGCAUAACAACAUACGUUGUUCCCUUUGUCAUCGGUAUGUUACUUGCCCGAGAUUUGAUCGUCGGUAUCCAAUACCUAGUUCAAUCUCGUUACCGACAAGUCUCUUUACUCGUUAUGUAAUGCAUCAUUCCGUAACUAUCUCAUUAGCUACAUUGCUUGCAAGGCUUAUAGUGAUGUGCAUUACCGAGAGGGCCCAGAGAUACCUCUCCGACAAUCGGAGUGACAAAACCUAAUCUCGAAAUACGCCAACCCAACAUGUACCUUCGGAGACACCUGUAGUACUCCUUUAUAAUCACCCAGUUACGUUGUGACGUUUGGGAGCACCCAAAGUGUUCCUGCGGUAAACGGGAGUUGCAUAAUCUCAUAGUUACAGGAACAUGUAUAAGUCAUGAAGAAAGCAAUAGCAAUAUACUAAACGAUCAAGUGCUAGGCUAACGGAAUGGGUCAUGUCAAUCACAUCAUUCUCCUAAUGAUGUGAUCCCAUUAAUCAAAUGACAACACAUGUCUAUGGUUAGGAAACAUAACCAUCUUUGAUUAACGAGCUAGUCAAGUAGAGGCAUACUAGUGACAUUAUGUUUGUCUAUGUAUUCACACAUGUAUUAUGUUUCCGGUUAAUACAAUUCUAGCAUGAAUAAUAAACAUUUAUCAUGAAAUAAGGAAAUAAAUAAUAACUUUAUUAUUUCCUCUAGGGCAUAUUUCCUUCACCGGAUUCGGCCGUUUUAACUGGCUUGGCUUCUAUCCAUUUGGUGAACUUGUCCACCAUGACCAAUAAGUAUUUUUUGUUAUGGCUUCCCCCUUUAAGGGGUCCGACCAUAUCCAGCCCCCAGAUUGCGAAGGGCCAAGCUAUGGGGAUUGUUUGGAGAGUGGUAGGGGGCAUGUGACUCUGAUUGGCGAAGAGCUGGCAACCGACACAAUGUUGGACAAGGUCCUGUGCGUCUGCUCGAGCUGUCGGCCAAUAGAAGCCUGUGCGGAAGGCUUUGCUGACUAGCGCUCGAGCCGCGGCAUGGUGUCCGCCCAGUCCGGCAUGGAUUUCAACCAAGAGUUGCCUCCCUUCCUCUUCGGAGAUGCAUCUUUGGAGCACUCCAGUCGCGCUUUUCUUAUAGAGUUCCCCUUCGUGGACUUUGUAAGCUUUAGAACGCCGGACUAUGCAGCGUGCUUCAUUUUGGUCUUUGGGUAGCUCCUGCCUAUUUAGGUAGGCCAAGAAAGGCUCGGUCCACGGGGCAAUUACGGCCAUGAUUUCGUGGGCUGAAGAUGUUAUUUUGGUGGCAGAGCCUCCGAUUGUGUCUGAUGGUUCGGAAUCUGGGAGUGUGUUCGGAUCCGAGCUGGUAUUGCCGGACUCCCCUUCCCAUACUACGGAUGGCUUGAACAGCCUUUCCAGGAAUAUGUUAGGUGGGACAGGGUCGCGUUUGGCGCCGAUGCGGGCGAGGACGUCCGCCGCUUGAUUGUUUUCUCGAGCCACAUGGUGGAACUCGAGCCCCUCGAACUGCACUGACAUUUUUAGGACGGCAUUAUGGUAGGCCGCCAUUUUCGGAUCCUUGGCAUCAAAGUCUCCGUUUAUUUGUGAUAUUGUGAGGUUCGAAUCCCCUCGCACUUCCAGGCGUUGGAUGCCCAUAGAGACUACCAUCCGAAGACCAUGCAACAGAGCCUCAUAUUCGGCUGCAUUGUGGGAGUCUAUGUAUAAUAUCUGGAGGACGUACUGCACCGUGUCUCCGGUGGGAGAUGUCAGGACGACACCUGCUCCCAAUCCGGCCAGCAUUUUAGAGCCGUCGAAGUGCAUGAUCCAGUUGGAGUAUGCGUCGUACUCUUUAGGGAGUUCAACUUCCAUCCAUUCGGCAACAAAGUCGGCCAGUACUUGUGACUUGAUGGCCCGCCGUGGUUUGUAUAUUAUGUCGAAUGGAAGGAGCUUGAUGCCCAUUUAGCAAUCCGGCCCGUAGCGUCGCGGUUAUUUAUUAUGUCGUUGAGUGGUACUUCGGAGGCUACUAUAAUCGAGCACUCUUGAAAGUAGUGUCACAGCUUCCGGGAUGCCAUGAAGACCACGUAUGCUAUUUUUUGAUAGUGUGGGUAUCGGGAUUUGCAUGGGGUGAGGACUGUGGAUACGUAGUAAACCGGCUUUUGGAGCGGGAAUUUGUAUCCGUCAACCUCUCGUUCGACGACGAGUACUACGCUUACAACUUGAUGUAUUGCAACUAUGUACAGUAGCAUAGGCUCGCCGAUAUUCGCUGCUGUUAGAUCUGGAUUACUGGCCAGUAAGGUCUUUAUUUCAUCGAGUUCGGCCGCAGCCGCAUCCGUCCAUACGAAGUGUUCGGUGCGCCGAAGGAGGCGGUAAAGAGGCAGUGCCUUUUCUCCUAGCCUGGAGAUAAAGCGGCUCAAAGCGGCCACAUAUCCGGCUAGCUUCUAGAUGUGCUUGAGGUCUGUUGGUAUAGCCAACUGUGACAGAGCUCGGAUUUUUGCCGGAUUUGCUUCAAUUCCUCUAUUGGAAACAAUGAAGCCCAACAGUUUCCCCGAGGGGAUGCCGAAAACACAUUUUUCUGAAUUCAACUUAAUGUCGUAUGUCCGGAGGUUAUCGAAUGUAAGCCUCAAUUCAUCUAUUAGGGUUUUGACGUGUCUAGUUUUUAUGACUACGUCGUCCACAUAUGCUUCCACUGUUUUGCCGAUUUGUUUUUCCAGACAUGUUUGAAUCAUGCGUUGAUAGGUUGCGCCGGCGUUCUUGAGCCCGAAAGGCAUAGUGUUGAAGCAAAACGGGUCGUAUGGCGUUAUAAAAGCUGUUGCAGCUUGGUUGGACUCUGCCAUCUUUAUUUGAUGGUAUCCAGAGUAUGCGUCGAGAAAACACAGCGAGUCGUGUCCAGCUGUGGCAUCGAUAAUCUGAUCAAUGAGAGGGAGGGGAAAUGGAUCCUUGGGGCAAGCCUUGUUGAGGUCUUUGAAGUCGACGCAUAGGUGCCAGGAUUUGUCCUUCUUUGGCACCAUCAUCAAAUUUGCCAGCCAAUCCGGAUGUUUAAUAUCUCUGAUGAAUCCGGCUUCAAGUAGCUUGACUAACUCUUCUCCCAUUGCUUGUCGUUUGGGCUCUGAGAAUCACCUCAGGGCCUGCUUGACCGGUUUGUAUCCUUUUAGAAUAUUGAGGCUGUGUUCGGCCAAUCUGCGUGGGAUACCUGGCAUGUCCGAUGGGUGCCAGGCGAAAAUGUCCCAAUUUUCGCGUAAGAAAUCUCACAGUGCGGCAUCCAUCGCGGGGCUCAACUGUGUGCCGAUGGAAGCUGUCUUCGUGGGGUCCGUUGGAUGGACCUGGAAUUUGACUAUCUCGUCUGCAGGUUUGAAUGAGGUGGACUUGGGUCGCUUGUCGAGUAUCACGUCGUCCCUGUCCAUGGUGGCCUGCAGUGUUGUUAACUCUUCGGCUGCUAGGGCUUCAGAUAAUUCCUCCAGGGCUAGUGCUGCGGUUUUAUUUUCGGCGCGAAGUGCAGCUUCCGGAUCACUGGCUAGAGUGAUAAUUCCAUUGGGUCCGGGCAUUUUAUGCUUCAUGUACCCGUAAUGGGGUACAACUUGAAAGCUUGUAAACGCGUCCUGCCCUAGAAGGGCGUGGUAUCCGCUGCUAAAGGGAGCCACUUGGAAUGUGAUUUGUUCGGACCUGUAAUUCUCCGGAGUGCCGAAUACCACAUCGAGUGUGAUUUUUCCCGUGCAUCGCGCUUCCCGCGUGGGGAUAAUUCCCCUGAAGGUUGUGCCCCUUUGUUCAAUUCGGCUUUUAUCAAUUUCCAUUUUGCUGAGUAUUUCUUCAUAAAUCAGAUUUAAUCCGCUUCCGCCAUCCAUGAGUACUUUGGUGAGCCAAAAGCCAUCUACGAUCGGGCUAAGGACCAGAGCGGCUGGCGCCCGGACAGUCUGGAAUUGAGGUUCAUCACUGGCAUUAAAAGUUAUAACAGUGUCGUUCCAGGGGUUUAUUUUUGCCACAUGGCAAAUCUCAGCGGAGCUUCGAUGAGCCCGCUUGCGCCUAUUGUUCGAGGCAAAAGUCUCGAAGACUGUUAGUACCGUAUUGUGUUCGCUGGCGGGAUGUUGUUCCGCUUUAUAGCCUACAAGAAGAUCCUCGCCGCUUUUUGCCACCUGCCGGAGUAUCCAACAUGCCCUAAGGCUAUGAGUCGGUAUCGUAUCCGGAGUACUGUGGAGCUUACAUGGCCCGUUGAGCCAUUCUUCCAAUACAGAUCCCCGUCCUGGGGUAGGUUUUGGUUUCUUGGGGAUUGGAUCGGACGACUUACGAGAGUUCGUCCGUUUAGUACGGACAAAGGUUUUGGUGAGAGCGGUACUAUCCCAAAAUUUUGUUUGGGUUUUCCAAGCACUUUCCAUCGUACAGUACUUCCGUACUAUGAUUGCCAAGUCCGCGAAGUGUACUAUGUCACGACGGCUUAUAGCAUUGAGGAGUCCUUUGUCCGUGCAGUUUUUGCAGAAGAAUGAGACCACGUUCUCCUCGCGGCAGUCCCUGACCUUGUUAAGCGCAAGGAGGAACCUAGCCCAGUAGUGAUGCACGGUUUCCUGGGACUCUUGCCUGAUGUGGGAGAGACGGUUCAAGUCCAGGUAGGUGUUGUUGGCUGAGUCCGGAUUCUGAUCCGAUCUGACACCCAAGGGUGUGGGAUGUCCCGAGCCUGAUAGCUCGGGAUCCGGAGUGUCGCCCAAUUUCUUCAGCCCGAUGCCCGAUUCUAAGUCCGGGACCUGGGUCAUGUCUUCCUUGAAGCAAGUAUUCGGCUCAGGGAGUUUGAUGAUCCGGGGUGGCGCAACUGUCGUGGAAUUGUCACGACAGAUGUCCUUAGUGAGAGGACUUAGUCGCGAGGCCAACACAUCUAUGUGAUAUCUUGAGAGGGGUUGGGCGGAAUCGAGAGAGGCAACAUAAGACAAGGAUUUAGACAGCUUCCGGCCCCGGGAAACAUCAUCCGGUAAUAACCCUACAUGCUGUUUGUGGCUAGGUCUCAUUAUGAUCAUGAGGAAGUUGCCGGAAAGCCGGAUCUUUGUGUCUAGCCCUAGAGAUUGUUUCUUCUUUCUUGUCCCUCUUUGGGGAGCCCUGCCCCUCCUUAUAUAAGUUGAAGGGGCCGGUUACAUGACUAGUCCUAGUAGGAUAGGAUUACUCUAUUACAAGUGGAGUCCUAGUCUUGCUUCCUUUGUAGGAGAAUAUUCCUUAUGACUUUUCUCUUAAGCCGGCCCACCAUAGCAUGAGCCGGCCUUCUGGGCCUUGGGCCUUGUCUUCUAUCUGACCUGCCGUCAGGCCAUCCGUGAGUCGCCAGGCUCGUGAGUCGUCAGACCAGUGAGCCGCUAGACUCGUGAGUCGCCAGUCCUUCGGCGAGUUACCAAUGAAAAUGCCAAGCCCGGCCGGGUCAUGCCGCGGGGUAUAUCCCCGACAUAAGGUAUUUUUUUCAAUGUUGUUAUCGAUCGUUCCUUCAUCAUAUUGCCCAAUUUCACUCUUUUUUUAUCAGGCCGACAGAUUAUGUUUGUACACGUUGUCAAUUUGUCAUUUUGUGAUCACUUUACAUUACAAGUGAAGUGACCUUCAAUUAUUAUGCAAUUGUGAUCAUGUUAUGUUGUCUUUAUCUGUGAAAUUUUGGCAUGCAUUAUAUUUACAUAACUUUAGAAAAAUAUUUCAGAAGCCCGUGGCAACGCACGGGCAUUAUACUAGUUAUCAUAAGUUCUUACCGCAAUAGUUUCUUACCAAAUUUCAUAUGACUGUCUUCUGCAUGUAUGAAUACUUUCACAAUUCCUUGAACUUUUUUUGCAAAAGGGAGGCAGAUCUAUUAUAAAUAAUCGUCGGAAGUACCAAACACCUCAAUCAUAAUAAAAAUUACAUUAAGGUCCAUGGACCAUCGGGUAACCACUGCCGUCGGCAAAACGAGCCAUCAAUGCGCUGACGUCGCUGCUCCCAUAGCGAAGCCGACCUGACCUUAUCGAUGAUAGCCGGAAAGUCUUCAUCGAUGUGCCCCUAAGGGCCAGCACCCCGGGCCCGCAGCCGUCGCCGCUGAAUCCUUCAUUCGACCUGAAGAACCCAACACCAAAACUCGUAGUCGUGCACACACGAUGAAAAACCCUAUCCCCGUCACCCCGAGGAACUGGCGGGAAUCUAUGCCAGAGAUUCGUCUAAUCCGUCCCGAUUGACAAACUUGAGGAGGAUCAAAACUCGAAAGACUGACUCAAAGAAGAAGCAGCCCCAUCCGUCUGAGUGCUUCCCUUGCGCGGACUAAAAUCCUAUCCUAUCUACUAGCCGAAGCCGAGGCACCAGGAUAUCAUUCUAGUGAUAUCAUGUGUGCGUACAUACCGACGCAUAAGCAUAUACUCUUUCUACAAGAAUUCUUGCGAAAAGGAAGAAAAUGUUUAUACGAUCAGUAAAGAAACUAAUCCCAAAAUAAUGCCGUUGUGUUGUGGUUGAUUUGGAAGAUGCGGGAUAAUGCAUGCUUUUUUAUUAUAAUUCAGUCGUUAUUACCAAUAUGGUGGGUCGCGCAUCGGUUAACGACCAUUUUGCAAUGUGCACGGCUUUAGGCUAGUCAUGGUGGGAAGUAAUUUAGACUAAUAACAUGCAUAUAUUACUACCUUGGUAGUGAGUAAUAACAUAAGCCGAGGCAAAGGGCUUGCAUAACUGGCGGCAGAGUAAUUAAUAUUGUAGCAGUAAGUACAGGUUUUCCUUUAUAGUUAGGGCUGCUUCAUGAGGCAUUCCGCGGUACUUGGGUUAAACCUCGUUCAGGUCUAUCUUCGAUGCAGAUGAUCUUUUUACUGUGGCCAGUGGCAUCUAUGGGACAUAGUUUUAGCGUCUUGGUCAGCGUGGUGAGGCGGCGACAACGGCCUACAUUUAGAAUAAUCACCCCAUCACCGCUCCAGAGGUGUGCCUGGAUUCAGCCGACACUAGUGGUCAUUGAUUUGUUUGUAGGUCCUCUGAUCUAUGUUUUUCUUCAUCGUGACGGAGGUUGUUCUGAUGUGUUGGCCAAAGUCUUAGCACGACGAUUUUUUGUCUGUCAACUAGCCUGGCUCCGGUGAGGAAGGGGAUUGAUUUGUUUGCAGGUCCUCUGAUCUAUGUUUUUCUUCAUCGCGGCGGAGGUUGUUCUGAUGUGUUGGCCAAAGUCUUAGCAUGAUGUUUUUUUGUCUGUCAACUAGCCUAGCUCCGGUGAGGAAGGGCUGACGUGCUUUCGACUCAUUCCAGUGCAUGUUAAAGCUAGAUGAUCCAUGGUGUUUUGAUGUGUUGGCCAAAGGUCUUCAGGUCUAUCUUCGAUGCGGAUGAUCUUUUUACUGUGGCCAGUGGCAUCUAUGGGACAUAGUUUUAGCGUCUUGGUCAGCGCGGUGAGGCGGCGACAACGGCCUACAUUUAGAAUAAUCACCCCAUCACCGCUCCAGAGGUGCGCCUGGAUUGAGUCGACGCUAGUGGUCAUUGAUUUGUUUGUAGGUCCUCUGAUCUAUGUUUUUCUUCAUUGCAACGGAGGUUGUUCUGAUGUGUUGGCCAAAGUCUUAGGAUGAUUUUUUGUCUGUCAACUAGCCUGCCUAAGCAAGCAAGACAAGGGUCAUGAAGAUGCAUCAAAACCCUCACGAAUGCUGGCAUAUUGCUAAUCAGAGUGCAUGCCUAAUACAAAAAUAAAGAAAGGUGCACAACCCUGGCACGAACUGAAGCAAGGCUUGCCUUACAAUCUCAAGUCUGAACUACCAUUAUUCAUCUUACGAUUCUUAAAUACUUCCAACACAAAAAUAAAGGAAGGCACACAACCCUGGUGCAAACUAAAGCACAUUCAGGAUGCCUGUUAGGCACCCCGUUGCAAUAUUACAAGGAGCAUGUCCGGGAGGGCCUCGUUGUACAUGUAAUUGUACAAUCGCGCUCAGUAAAAAAAGGCGCUGUCUUCAACAAGAGAUGGCGGAACUGGACCAUCGAUGCGGUGCCGGAGAAAUAUACAGUACCCAGCGCCCAGCGGUAUCACCUGAAGGGGUGGUCCGUCGAUACAGCACCGCAAGGUAGUUCCAUUCCGCAAAGUAUCAAUCAUCUGGAGGAUAGAGCAAACAAACAUGUUAGGACAGGACGAGAAGAGGGUGGAGAACAACAGUUAGGAGCUGAAGGAACAUCGAAGCUCACCGCGACUAUUUCGCAAUUGUGUUGGAUUCAGUUUUCCACACAAUGUCUUUUAGUUCUGAUGAGAAAUUCUUGUAGAACUGCAUGCAGUUUUGAGAAAACAGUGUUAAUUGUUUCAGAGUUCAGAAUGUUUGGCG